This 67821-nucleotide long non-coding RNA is filed under the name Capsicum annuum. RNAcentral describes it as "long non-coding RNA (CANN_LNC013933)". The record is from RNAcentral. Lineage: Eukaryota; Viridiplantae; Streptophyta; Magnoliopsida; Solanales; Solanaceae.
AUUGUUCUAAAUAAUUAAUAAUUUAAAAUAGUUAAAAUACAUAAAAUUUAAUUGACUUUCAAAAUUAUAUUAGUGCCACUUAAAUUGAAAUAGAAGAAAAAAUAUUAUAAAUUGUAGACACAUAAUUUUGAUCAUCCAGAGCUUCAUAAUUUAUUUUAUUGCGUUAGUUUUAGUUAGCUUCUCUUUAUAUGAGAAUUCAAAAUUUCAAAAUUAGUGACACAUCAAAUUAUGCAACUUGCUGCGAUUUCAUUGAUCCAAAAAAAUAUUUUUAGUUUUCAUUUAUUGCUAUUCUUAUCCAAUUAUGAAUAUUUUUCUAAAGCUAAAUAAACUAAUCUCACCCUUUAUCGCACCAUAUCGGUGUAGCCUACCCACACCGAAUAAGUGACCUCAAUAUUCCCUCAACCAAGUGGACCCACCCGUUAACAAUACACGACAACGACCCAUAACAAUAAUAUACACACGAAAAGGGAGAAGAAAACAGGAGGGAGGAACUUCCAUGAAUGCACCAUGAGCUUCUCCACAAAACGAUUCCAUUAACAAUAGCAUACUGUACCCAUUCUUAACAAUUUCAACAAUUAACAACCAUAACUGACAACAAUCAGCAACAUCACUCCUUUCGACUCCAAUUUUCUCAUCAGAAAACACCAUUGAAACCACCCUCCACCAUUGAUUUUUCAGUGAACAAUGACCAAUAUCGUCUCCUCUUUUGAACCAGUUCUGGAUCCUACCAGAACACUUCCUCCACCUAUUUCUUCAUUGGAAAAAUCCACCCUCACCUUCAUCCAUCGAACUCCGACUACGGCCGCUCCAAAAUGGGUCGUUUUGUUAUCAAACAGGUCGUUUGAACUUGGUUUUGUUCGGGUUGGUUAUUUUGAUUUGAGGUGGCUUAGAGAGAUGGUAAGACCCAAUUUGGCAAAGAGAGAAGGAGAAGAGUUUGAACAAAAAAUUUAUGCGGUGGAAAUUCGACGGGAAGAUACGUCUUAUGAAAAUUAGGUUUGGUGACCAAUUUACCCUUUAUCUUUUUUAUAAUGACAACAAACACACAUGUCAAAACUUCCUUUUCUAAUAUAUAGAAAAAUAAAUAAAAAAAUAGGAAAAAAGUAUUCUGAUGAUGUUGUGAUGGAUGAAUCCUAGGUUGUUGAAAAUCUCAUCUUGUUGUCAAAUAGCCCAGGAAAGAGAUUUGCUGAUCACAAGAAAACUGAUAUAAGUAAUCCACCAAAAAUUUCAGGAGAAUGGUCUAGAAGUUUUACUGAGAAACAACUGACUCUUGAGGGACCUGGUCCCGAGAAGAGAAAAGUAGCUAAAAGAGAAUCUGUAAUCACUUAAACCAAAAGAAAGAAUAGGGAGAAAAAUAAGAGUAUAUGUAAUAACCCGAGGCUACCCCCUAGUCGCGACAACGAUGCUUAUGAUCACAAAUGACCACAAGCUAACCCAUGAGCUGGUACCUGCUGUGAGUACUGAAUAAAAUGAGAAUAGUACAUGUGUAUGGAAUAUAGUCUGCUAAAUGUAAUAUUAAUUUGAAUACUGAAAAUAAGGUUCAAUAAUAAGUCUGAUGAAAAUAUUAAAAAUCUAACUGUCUAUUUAAAACACAUGUGAACACUGAAAAGACUAAUCAGCUGAAAACUGUCUAACUGACUGUCUAAUUGUCUGAAAAGCCUCUAAGACUGACUGAAAGGUUGAUGAGACAAGCCCCCAACUAACUUCAACUGACUAAAUGUACUAAGCUACUGAAAUAACUAAAAUAAUUAAUCCUUUCCUCGAUAGAUGAGGACUCACCACUACUACUGUUGAGUACGCUGAACUGUGUAAGCACGGUCAGGAAACUGAGUGUCCGAACCUAUGAUAUAAGACAUCAUAGCGCAAAGAAGAGUAUGUGAUCAGUACUUUGAAUAUAUUGGUAUAUGAGAUGAGGUCUUGCUAAAAUGUAUGGGGUACUGUACAUAUGAGAUAAGGACUAACUGAACAACAUGAAAUAAUUAUGCAUGAAUCAAUAAAAAAUGUAGUGUCUAAGAAUGAAAGACCAAGCAUGUACAUAUUUCUGAAAUAAUCUAAAAAUUGAAAGACUGAAAUCUGUAUAAAUGAAUAACUAUAAGUUUGUAUGCUUUGGUCAAGAAAACCUGAACUGAAUAUACACUGAAUACUAUACUGAGGCCGUGGGAGGUAUCAAUUGUAUAACCAACAUGCCCCAAUCUAAGCUAAUUGGGGUCCAACCUAUAACCCUAGUUGGAAAUGUGUCAGUACUAUGCCACGGGUACUAACACUGGCUGGCGAUGUGGAUUCCAGAAGGCUGAUGUCCCGUAGGACUAGGGAGUCAGUCCUAAUUGGUGGGUGAACCCUAAGAGAGUGUCAGUCCUAAACUGGCAGGUGACAUCUCAUAAUCCUAUACUAUCUACAUAGUUUUGGAACUUAGGGACUGCUACUAAUGACCCAGUCCUAACUGGCGGGUGAGCCCCCAUCCCUAGGUUCGCUCUGUGCUAAAUCCUACUCCCAACUGAACUGACACUGGUACUGAACUGUAUUAAGUUUAACUGAAUAUUAUUUUUGAUAAUGUUCAUCUUAAUAAUAAUAACUAAAUAAGUAAGGAUAUUCGUGGCUUAAUUGAAUCAUACUUGAAAAUCUGAAAAUCAUACAAGACACGUAGGUAUUGGGUAUUCAUAACCCACAACACUAAGUGAUCAUUAAAAAUAUAACGUUUAAACUUAAACUGUAAUAUUACAUCAUGGUUCAACUCAAAACAUUGGCAUUUUACUAAACAUUUGGAAAGCAUGGACUUGCUUGUACAUGGGGAUAUUUUAAACAUGAAGUUCACUUGACUAAGACAUGGGAAACUGAAAUUCAUAGCAUGAGGAAUUCAAAUCUUGCAUGGAAUUAUACAUGGACUUAAUUGCAUUUAAAUUACCAUGGAAACAUGAAUUUAACCCAUCUUAAGCAAUAUAAAAUACAAUAAUGAUAGAAAAGUCCAUUCUUUAAUUGAAAAAAAGGUUUUUGGGCUCCAUGGGUGAAGGGGACAUGUGGAUGAACACCCCAAAUACCUUAAGCUUUUAACUUGAACAAGAAACACCAAUAUUGAUACUUUUUGAAGGUUCUUAAACUUGGGGAACUUGAAUUAUUGAUUUCUUGGGGAGAAAGGAAUUGAAUUCUUAUUUUUGGGGGAAGAAGAGGGUUUUCUUGAGAGGAAAAUUGGAGAAGAAAGGCAAAAUUAUGCCCUAACUGAUGCCCAAGUUGUGUUAUGAAUGAUUGGGUUGAGGAGGAAAAAACCUAAUUGCCCCCAGUCAUUUAAAUACAAAACUGGAUGUAACAAGCUUACCAUGAUGCGGUUUAUCGUGGUAGUGCAUUUCCCUCAAUGCGACGCGGUCUGUAUGCCAUCGGGACUAAUGUGGCAUCAUGGUAUUAUCGUGGUAACCCACUUGUUUUGGAUCCAAACAUGACCUAAACCCCGUUUGAAAAACCCAAAACUUCUCUAAGACAUGUUUCUCACAUCCCUGAACAUUAAUUAACUCAAAAACCAACAUUUCGGGGUCAGGAAGACUAAGUUAAAAAUCCUUCAAGUUUAGAAGCCUUAAAAAUAACCAAGUCCCCAACACUUGUUGAAAUUUGCAGGCCUUAAUCCCCUUAUGCAUGCAACUAGAAGUUGAACUAAGCUAAGAAUAAUAUGGGGUAUUACAAUAUCUCCCUCUUGGGAACAUUCAUCCUCGAAUGAGACUGGUUAGAUUGAGAGUACUGAACUAAGGUAAAUAAGAUCACAUACUAAACAUGCAUGACUGGAAACAUGAUUACAUAACUGAAUCUGAAGCAUGAUACGUGAACUGAGCUGAUGUCGUGAAUGCAUGCAAUACACGAGGAUGUUUAAAUAGCUGGAAUUGAGAAUGGAAAAAACUCAAUCUAAGGAAAAUAGUUACCUCAAGCUAAGCUUGAGUUUGCGAAGAAAAGAUAAGGGUACUUGGUAUGCAUAUCUGCUUCUGCUUCCCAAGUAUCUCCCUUAAUGGACUGAUUCUGCCAUAGGAUUUUAACCAAGAGAACUUCUUUGUUCCCUAGUCUACGAAUCUGACGAUCAAGGGUCUCAACUGGGACUUCAUAUUAGGAAAGACUAUUCUAAACAUCUAUACUGUCUAAAGGAACAACAUCAGCUGAAUCGCCAAUACAUUUCUUUAACAAAGAAAUAUGAAAUACCGGAUGAAUUGAUGCCAAAUCUGUAGGCAACUCUAGCUCAUAAUCUAUCUUCCUAAAAUGGUUCAAGAUUCUAUAAGGACCAGUAAAUCAGGGACUCCCCUUCUUAUCAAAUCUCUUCACCCCUUUCAUGGGGGAUAUUUUAAAAUAGACUUAAUCACUAAUAUCAAACUCAAGAUCUCUUCUCCUCACAUCUGCAUAAGAUUUUUGACAGCUUUGGGCUGUCUUAAACCUCUCCCUAAUUAACUAAACUUUCUCCAUCGCAUCAAACACUGAAUCUAGCACUAUCAAAGUAGCCUCACCUACUUCAAACCAACCAAUAGGAGACCUACAUCUUCUCCCAUAGAGAGCCUCAAAUGGAGCCAUCUGAAUAUUGGAGUGAUAACUACUGUUGUAGGCAAACUUAAUCAAAGGUAUAUGGUCAUCCCAAAUACCUUUAAAAUCAAUAGCACAUGCUUUUAACAUGUCUUAUAAGGUUUGAAUGGUCCUCUCUGCCUGAUCAUCUGUCUGAGGAUGAAAAGUUAUAUCGAGAUAAACUUGGGUACCAAGACCCUUCUGAAAAGCCUUCCAAAAGUGAGAGGUAAAUUUAGUACCUCUAUCUGAAAUAAUAGAUAAAUAAACUCCAUGCAACUUAACCAACUCUCUAAUAUAAAGCCUAGCCUAAUCCUCAGCUGAGUACAAAGUAUGAACUGGCAAGAAAUGAGUUGAUUUAGUCAUUAUAUCCACAAUGACCCAUAUCGAAUCAUGCUAUCAAUGUGUACAAGGCAAACACAUCACAAAAUCCAUGUUCACCACUUCCCAAUUCCAAGUGGGGAUGCUAAACUCUUGCAACGAACCACUAGGCCUAUGGUGCUCAACUUUAACUUGUUGACAAUUUGAACACUUAGCCACAAACUUUGCAAUAUCCUUCUUUAUACCAUUCCACUAAUAGAUUUCCUGUAAGUUACGGUACAUCCUUGUGGCUCCUGGAUGAAUGGAAUAUAGCACACUGUGCGCUUCUACCAAAAUUCACUGGCUGAAGUCAUCAACACAUGGAACACAUAACCUACCCUGGCAAUGCACUAUCUCCCCCUUGGGAAAAAACCUCUACUUUCUGAUCUCUGAAUGAUUCCUUCAAUCUAACUAAACUGGGAUCCCUAUCUUGAUAUUCCUUCAUUUCGGCAACUAAAGAAAAUUCUAAACCCAUAUACUACCUUCAGCUAAAUCAACCAAUCGGACACCCAAUCUAGCAAACUGAUGAACCAUCCUGACCAACUUCUUCCUAUCAUCCUCAACAUGGGCAACACUAUCUAUAGCUAAGGGCAUCUGUCACCACAUUGGCCUUGCCCAGAUGAUACAACAUACUCAUAUCAUAAUCUUAUAGCAACUCUAGCCACCUUCUCUGUUGAAGAUUCAAAUCUUUCUACAAGAAUACAUACUGCAAACUUUUAUGAUCCAUGAACAUAUCAACAAGAACCCUAUAAAGAUUGUGCCUCUAAAUUUUCAAGGAAAAAACAAUAGCUGCCAAGUCAAGAUCAUGGGUAGGAUAAUUCUUUUCAUGGGCUUAAGCUGUCUAGAGGCAUAUGCUAUGACCUUAUCUCUCUACAUCAAUACACAACCAAGACCAACUCUAGAAGUAUUACAGUAAACUACAAAUCCAUCUGAACCAUCUGGUAAAGUCAAUACUGGGGAUAAAGUGACUCGAGUAUUCAACUCCUGAAAACUCUUCUCACAUAAAUUUGACCACUGAAAUUUGACUUUCUUCUGAGUCAAUCGAUACAUAGGGGAUACAAUAGAAGAAAACCCUUUAACAAACCAUCUGUAAUAGCCAGCCAAACCCAAGAAACUCCUGAUAUCUGAUGGAGAGAUGGGUCUAGACCAGUUUCUCACCGCUUUGAUAUUUUAAGGGUCAACUCUAAUGCCAUCACUUGAAAUAAUAUGGCUAAGAAAAUCUACUGAUCUUAUUCGAAAUUUGCACUUUUUGACUUUGGCGAACAACUAAUGGGCUCUAAGAGUCUACUAUACAAUUCUGAGAUGGUCUGUAUGAUCAUUCUCACUAUAGGAAUAGAUAAGAAUACCAUCAAUGAAGACUAUGAUAAACAUGUCCAAGUACUGCUUGAACANNNNNNNNNNNNNNNNNNNNNNNNNNNNNNNNNNNNNNNNNNNNNNNNNNNNNNNNNNNNNNNNNNNNNNNNNNNNNNNNNNNNNNNNNNNNNNNNNNNNNNNNNNNNNNNNNNNNNNNNNNNNNNNNNNNNNNNNNNNNNNNNNNNNNNNNNNNNNNNNNNNNNNNNNNNNNNNNNNNNNNNNNNNNNNNNNNNNNNNNNNNNNNNNNNNNNNNNNNNNNNNNNNNNNNNNNNNNNNNNNNNNNNNNNNNNNNNNNNNNNNNNNNNNNNNNNNNNNNNNNNNNNNNNNNNNNNNNNNNNNNNNNNNNNNNNNNNNNNNNNNNNNNNNNNNNNNNNNNNNNNNNNNNNNNNNNNNNNNNNNNNNNNNNNNNNNNNNNNNNNNNNNNNNNNNNNNNNNNNNNNNNNNNNNNNNNNNNNNNNNNNNNNNNNNNNNNNNNNNNNNNNNNNNNNNNNNNNNNNNNNNNNNNNNNNNNNNNNNNNNNNNNNNNNNNNNNNNNNNNNNNNNNNNNNNNNNNNNNNNNNNNNNNNNNNNNNNNNNNNNNNNNNNNNNNNNNNNNNNNNNNNNNNNNNNNNNNNNNNNNNNNNNNNNNNNNNNNNNNNNNNNNNNNNNNNNNNNNNNNNNNNNNNNNNNNNNNNNNNNNNNNNNNNNNNNNNNNNNNNNNNNNNNNNNNNNNNNNNNNNNNNNNNNNNNNNNNNNNNNNNNNNNNNNNNNNNNNNNNNNNNNNNNNNNNNNNNNNNNNNNNNNNNNNNNNNNNNNNNNNNNNNNNNNNNNNNNNNNNNNNNNNNNNNNNNNNNNNNNNNNNNNNNNNNNNNNNNNNNNNNNNNNNNNNNNNNNNNNNNNNNNNNNNNNNNNNNNNNNNNNNNNNNNNNNNNNNNNNNNNNNNNNNNNNNNNNNNNNNNNNNNNNNNNNNNNNNNNNNNNNNNNNNNNNNNNNNNNNNNNNNNNNNNNNNNNNNNNNNNNNNNNNNNNNNNNNNNNNNNNNNNNNNNNNNNNNNNNNNNUUACACUCCCACGAGAGCUGUAGAUUGAGCGUUAUCAAUUACUUUGUUGAGCAUUAAAGUAAUUUCCUUGAGACUGCUACUAAAAGUGUUAACUCUAUCCUUAGUUGAUAUCCUUUGAGAAUUUGGGGUGAUUCUUCCAAUUAUAAUUGUAUGUGUUACUAAAAUUUUAAUUUCCUUCUUUCUACGCAUUACCCAUAAAAUUAACCAAUUCUAUAUUUUCUCCACUCAAUUUGACUGAAUGAUCACUACCUCUACUAAAUUUACACUAACUAGGAAUUGGUUGCAAUACAUUUAUUAUGCCUAUGGCUAAGCCAAUUUUAACUUAUUGAGUAAGUAAUCAUAUAUUUAUAAAAAGCAACUAGCUGUGCAGCCAAUGUUGUGAUCCUAUCGACAUCUAACAUACCUGCAACCUUUUUUACCAUACCUCUAGAAGCAUCUACGUUCCACUCUGGGUUGCCCUAUGCAAAAUGAUAUGAAAGAGUGUACAUCUCAUUAUAAGUCUACUAUAGAGCUUGACCCCCUUUUACUGAAUCUAAUAAUAUUUUUGUGUAUGAGUCAAGACUUUCUAUAAAGGUGUGAGCUAGAAAAUGAUUUGUUUGUUGGUUGAUGAUUGGAAAUCCCUGAUAAUAUAUUUAAAUCCGUCCAUGCUAAUAUAAGUUUUCAUCUAGUUUCUACUUAAAAUUAAAUAUCUUAUAUCUCAACUUUGUUGUAUUUUCAAAUAGAAAGAAUCACAUCAAGAAUUUCCUUGAAAAGUCAUCCCAUAUUGUGAUGAAAUUAUGUCACUCUACCUUUAACCACCUCUUUACUUCUAUGACAAGAGAAAAUGAGAAAACUAUAAGCCUUGCGUGGUUAGUCAAGACUCGUGUAGGUAUAUAAGUGUCAUUGAUCUCUAGAAAAUUUUGCAUGUGUUGUUAUAGAUCCUUAUGUGAGAGACCUAUAAGCACCCGCUAUUAUGAAACAAUUUAACCAUGUAUGUUUAAGCUCAAAUUGACCCCCUAGAUCUGUAGAUGUUGGAGGUGACAUUAGUAGCGAGUAGGAUUUCCACUUCAUGAACUGGUCUUCCUACCAUUUUUGUCGGAAUGACCUUGUCAUGUUGAACCUACUAGAUUAGGAAGACAAGAGCAACCUUUCUUCUUAGCUAAUAGAAUCAUCAUUUAGGUUCAAUAUUGGGUCAACUAAAUCCCUAUUUGGCGCUAAAUUGUUGUAAGGACAAUCCUAUAUCUGGAAAAUCAACAACUAAGACCAAGUACUUAAUACCUGUUGAUGAUAGGCGAAAUUACGCGCCUAUAUCAAUAUAUUUUGCCCAUAUUUUAGCCUAGUUUCGAGAACUAAUUAUCUAUUUCGUACACUUUUAGUCCUUUUUCCUGUAAAUGAGCUAACAAAUGUGAUUAGGAAAGUUUCAGGUAUAAAUGAUGCAAAAUACAGCAAUUUAUGGCUUACUUGACGCAAAAGAAAGCUCACAAACGAGAUGGAAAGGAGCUGGACGCAUAAAGGACUAAAUCUGCUGCAUGGAAAAUCUGUCCCGGGCUAAAACAGCAUUUCUGAAGACUUUGGGACUUACAGACACAAAGCUGGAUUUUUGCCAUAAUACAUUAACCUAGUGCAAUUAGGUUAUGUGUUUCAUCAUUCUAUUUGGAUUAUAAUUUUGUAACCUUACCCUAGUACAAUUGGGUCAAGGAUUUCAUUAGUAUAUUAGGAUUUGGUUAUUUAUUUUAUUAGUUUAGUAGGAGUAGGAUAGGAGUAUUAUAAAUACCCUAUCAUGUUAGAGAUUUUAGAGAGGGGGGAGACAUUCUGACAAUUCUUUCAUCUCCUUACAAUUAAGACAUCUUCCUACAACCCAUUCUCAAUUCUUCAUUCUUCUACUCUUAAAUUCCACAACAAGAGAAUCGUUACUUGCUACGGAAUCACUAAAACCACACGCCAAACACCUACUAUUCACACCAUCCACCAUGCAAAGCGUGAUAUCCUUCGCAUUCAUGGGUAACUAAAUCUCUUAGUUGGGGUUAUGGAAGCCGAAUGAGUUACUAUCUAUAGCUAUGAGUUUGUGAGUUCAAGACAAGUAUAUUGCUUAUAUCAUUAUUCUCUUCAUCUUAAAUCUACAUUCUUUGCGGUUCAAACACAAGAACACGCCAUUCUAACAUCUAACCUGUUCGAGAGAAAGGUUAUUUGUCUAGAAAAGAAGACGCAUAGACCAACGCCAGUCUAACAUCUGACUUGUUCGAGAGAAAAGUUAUUUGUCUGGAAAAGAGAUAAUGUCAAGGUAGUAGGACACCCUUUCCUAUUAAAAAGCUAGUGCCGUACCUGGACUAACUUCUUGGAGAAUUCGUACCGUUAGUCACGCUUUAAGCUCGAGAGAGUUAAAGUGAAAUAGUACUUGUUUAGGUCGAGAGACGCUUGGAUUUAACAUCGACUACAAUUCUCUAUAAGCAAUUACAUGUCAAGACUCUACACACUCAUAGCCAAUAGAGACGUAUACCUCAGAAGGUGGACAUAACCCCAACGCCUCAAUUCUCAUUGUUUACAACACACGUGACAAUCUCUCUUUAUUUUGCUAUUUUCAGUUCUUACAUUCUUGUUUUGGUUACAUACUACAAUCCCCCCUUUCCUACGAGACUUGCACUAAAAGUCUAGUAAUUUCUCUUGCUUGUUGGCCAAGCUAUUCUCUGUGGGAUCGAUACCCAACCCAGGUUGGGUUCUAUAUUUGCUAACGACCGCUUUACACUCCCACGAGAGCUGUAGAUUGAGCGUUAUCACCUGUACAAUAAAGUAGUAAAUCUAAAACUAACACUUUGCUAAAUUCUUUGUCCCCUAAACUGCGCCAGGAAUAUGUUGUGUCCAUAUCUAUAUGCAAGUGUAUGCGGUCAUACAAACAACACAGUGACUUUUACAAUCAGAAUAUCAAAUCCACGAGAACUUGUGAUUUAUCAACUAUCCAAUUCACGUAACACUGAGAGAUUAAACAAGUAUAGUUAUAACCAUGAAAUUAGUCAAGAUUUAUAAAUCUAAAACUUUAAAUAAAAGUAAGGACAUAAUUAAAUAGUUUGUAAUUAUUAUUAAGGAGAAUUCCAAAGUUAAGGCAUGAUUUGCAAUCAUGUAUAUCAAUUCUUUCUGAUCGAUUAAGUUUUGUAUCUGAUUGUUGAUUUAUAGGUUAAUAGUAUGACUAUGGUCUUUUGAACCUCCAAUAUUUUUCCAAAAUUGACCUUGCAUUUACAUUAAUUGAGUGGUAAUUCAAAAACCCAAGCUAGGUGUUAUAUGAUUUCAUCCCAUUUUCAAACCUCAUGGGAUGUAUUAGGUAUAUUCCUAUCCUAAAUGCAAAUCUAGCCCGUGUUAAAGGCAAGAUCUCAUCCCCCGGAUUCUUUAUUCUAUCCUAGUGAUUCUUCUGCUGGAUUCACACAAGAAUUAUGUAUUUAUUUUAAUGGCCACAAAUAAAAAAAGGAAUAUAAUAAUAACAAAUGUGAUUAAGAAACUUAAGCUAAGUAAAAAAUAUGUUAUACAAUCAUGCUUGUAGCCCCCAAUCCUAUGAUGAGGAUUUUUAAUCACUCAUAGUCUAAAUUAAACUUACAAAUUUAAUAUGGUUCAUAUAUUUAUAAAAUAAUAAAAAAUGGAUAGGAAUCCUAGUUAGAAGCCUCCUUGAUGCUUUUCUAGACUCAAAGACAUGGUAGGUUCUUGCAGAAUUAAUUGAGUGUCCUAGUUAAGCAAAAUGUAGAAAAUUGUAGCUGAAAUAUUACAGUGGAGUUACACUACUGUCAACUCAGUCUUGAGCAUCAUGGAACAUUUCCAACACAUGAUGGGAAGAAGCAGGGCACUUGUCCAUAGUGCCAAGGGAAGCAACAGGGCACUCCACCAAUACAAACCUAUUUUGAUUUGGCUGCCUCACUUCUCAAAAUUUUCAUCCUUGCUCCAUGACACAACAGAGAAUGGACUAUACCUCCUUAAUAUAAGGGAUCACCUUCCAAUACCAUUUUAGAUCAUAUAAUUUCUUAUGAGGUUGCAUUUAACCUUCGAUUUCAAAUUACAUCAAUCAAAAUGCGUUUCCAACCUACAAAAAGUCUAAUCAUGUAAUUAGUUUAUGUACAAUAUUUUAUCAAAAUAUUUGAGAAUAUAAUAAAAAUUAUUCAAGAAUUAAGAUUAAAUAUUGAUAAAAAGUAGUACUUGGACAUAUAAAUAUUCUCAAGAUUAAUGACUUCUUAUUAAAUCAUCUUAUUUAAAAUCAACCAAUAUUCAUUCAAGAUCAAAUCAAAACUCUAACCUAUUAAACCAAAACCAACCCACGCCCUAUCCAUUAACAAAAUAUCUGACCCAAAGCCUAACUCAGUCUCAUUUUAUCCCUCCCAUAGAUGGAUCAGAUAGCCAAAAUCAAUUACUAAUCAAAAUUUCAUAAUAAUAUUUUAAUAUGAAAUGACCUAAGAAGAAACCCAUGUAUUUUUCAUUCUUCCUCCUUCUCUGAGGAGUGCAACCCAUUCCCUAACUCCAAACUUAGUUCAUCUAUUAUUAUCUUCUCCAGUCAUCCAAAUUUGAUUCCUAAAUUAAAUUAUUUUUAUAAAUAUAUUUAGGAUCGAGUGACUCAAAUUGUUCAAAGAAAAGUGUCAUUGCGAACUUAAUGUCAAUUUCUUCAUGGUGUGGAUGUUGAACAACUUUGGUAGACUAUUUAUCCAAUAUCAUAUAACCAAGGUAGGUUUAUUUUGGAUUAGUAUUUCUUUGAUUAUAAAUAAUUUUUGAAUUAUUUUCCUAAUUUAAUUAUUUUUUAUAUAGAAUCAAUCGUAUAAUUUUGAGAUGUGGAUGAUGAAAAAUUUCCCCCAAGAGAUAUGGAAUAUCACCAGGAAUUACAAAAAUAAAUUAAAUAUUUGUGAUAUUGAAAGGAAUAAUUUGAUGAAGAACAUAGCCAAUCUUUAAGUUUCUAAUGGUAAUGAUGUUGUAAAUAUAAAAUAGAUAGAAAAAAUAUUGAGAUGAUAGUUGAUUUUAAAGUUUUGACGGCUAUGGAUUAUGCAUAUAUAACGGAGUUGAGAAAUAAAUUGGAUGUUCUUAAGGUUGAGAAAAAUAUAUUAGCGGUGAAGGUGACUAAAUUUUUAUUUUUAUCAUUUUGUGGAGGGUGUAGUAACUAAUCUGUUAAGAAAAAAAGUGAUGCGACAGAGAUUGAUCAUCUUGUGCUUUUCUGAUUUGCUUGUUGUUCAAUGGCAUGUGUUCUUAGAGAAUAGACCUCAACUUUUUAUUUGACAUAGCUAUAUAUAGGUUUACUCUUUCAUCCCUUUGGUACUUUAUCAAUUAUUAUGAAAGAGGGAACAACAAAUAACAUAUUUGACUUUAAUUUUGUGUUAUAAAUUUGUGGUAGAAAAGUAUUAGCCUAUAACUAUUGAGUGAGUUUAAAUUUAGGUACAUGUUCUUUUGCAAUCGAUUAGUUAAAGUCGUUUAAUCUAGAUUUAAUGUAUUGAAGUUGGACCCAACAUAUUUAUGGCAAUUAAGCUUUUUUACCAAUUUUUAUUUAGUUAUUCACUUUUGCAAAUUGGGUGGUCAGAGAUUUUAAUUUUACUCUUAAUAGGAGAGGUGAGUUUUCUUAACUAUUGAUUUCCGGUAUUGGCAUGCACAUGGGAUGAUCCAAAUUUUAAUUUUCAUUACUCUAACCUUAAAUUCAAUCCCCCAUGAUAUAUUUGUCACUCAUAAGCAUGUUUUAAUGAUUAUUCAUGGUUUGUUAGGCCCGUAUUAUAUCAUUCUUAUUAUUCUCAAAUUCAUACAUGAUUUACAUAAAAUUAGUCCAGAUUUCAAGCAUAUGAUCAAGCUAUGUAAGAUUUAUCAGUUUCAAGACCAUUAAGCACUAUUUGUUCAUGAUUUUAAACUUGAGUUAUGAAAAUUUUUAUUAUAUUCAGAUCAUUAAAUUUCUACUAUUUAGUCAUAUUAUUCAGAGCUGGUGGAUUAUAAUACCUAGGAUUUCAUGCAUGUAUUAGUUGACAUGUUUUGAGCACUUCAGAUUAUACAUGUGUUGCUAUUUGGAAAAAUAUUACUAUAUUGAUUAUAUAUAUAUAUAUAUAUAUAUAUAUAUUGAUACAUAUAUAUAUACAUAUCAUUUUUCAGUGUCGUUCUUAGUUAUUAGUAACAGUCCGGAAGUUCCAAAACUAUAGCACCACCCUAGUUUACAAAGGGUCCUUCUUCAGUUGAUGCAUGACACCUUAUUCCUUCAAGAUAUUAGUUUUGUGGAUCCAUGCCAAUCAAUGUUGGUACCCUUGGCAAGAUGCUAGCACCUUUCUAACUGGUGUUAUAGGUUGGACACCAAUUUGCUUAGAUUGGGUUAUGUCGGUUACUGUUAGCUCCCACGGUUCUCAGUUUAUGUUUCAACUUUAGAUUAUGCCUGACCCUGUAUUUAGUUAUUUUGUUUCAUUCAGUACAUGCUUACACUUGGUCGUUGAAAUAGUUCACAUCCCAUAGUUUUAGACCCAAUAUUCAUACAUUGAUCUCAGUUUAGUUUUAGUUUGUUUUAUAUUAUUAAUCUUUAGACUAUCACAUCUUUUACCUACAAACAUGUUUUAAAUGUAUAUACUACAGCAAAUGGCUUAAAUUCCAAGUUUGAAGGUAUAUUUUAAGUAUUUCUAUUACUACUGCAUAUCCCACAUACUUAGUACAUUUCAAAGUACUAAUCGCAUACCUCUUCUGCCAAUAUUUUUUAUGUGAUGUAGAUUCAGGUUCUUACUCUCAGGAUCAUAGUCAGGCAGAUUACAACAUUUCGCUAACCGAUGAUGAUUUCUCUUAUUUUGAGAAUUCAAGUCUAUUACAGUUCUUGUAUUUUAUUUUCUUAUACAUAUGUAUUGAUUAGGGAUAGUUGAGGUCAUGCCUGGACUAUUUGUAGUCAGUAUUAGUCGAGGCUUCAUAUAUAUUUGUUAGAGUUAUUGUAAGUAAUUCAAGUUCCUUCUUCGUAUUUUAGUGUAAAGUUUGAAUAAUAUAGUUUUCACCUAUUUGUAAAGGAAGUGUCAAACUCCUAGGAUCCUUUAGCAUGUUUGGAAGCCUUCUCAUUACCCUUGAACUACACUCUUUAAUAAGUGGCACAGUUUCGACUCUUCAAGUUGUCUUCUAUUUUCCACCACAUCUCUCAAAUACCUUGCAUAAUUUGGCAUCUCCUUAAAAACAUUAGUUAGAUGAGUGUUUAUAUAUAGUUCUAUGAAGAUGUAAAAGAACUUGUUGAAGCAUGCAUCCGCUUUGUAUUUUUUUUCAACUUUAAGGGGAUGGUGGUGGAUGUCUCUUGACUCUUCUCCAUCAAUUUGGAAACAUUUCCACAACUUUUUUUUUGGGAAUCUUGGUCUAGUAAACUCUUUUUUACUUUAUGAAUUUUCUAUAUUUUAAGUACUUCAUCUAUGUCUUGCCACUCCUUAAAGUGAUUAUGAUUACUUUCCAGGUAUUUGGAUCUGUAUCGCUUAACAAAUUUUCUUGAGGCCUUGUGUUUUAAGCCUUGGCUAAAUAGCCCACUUUCUUGUCUAAAUUAUUGGUGGUAAGUUGCUAAUUCUUUAUGCUCGUAGCUAUUUUUGUAUUUAACCAUAAUCUUCUUCAAUAUCCCUUCAAUAUUACUUUGUUGAGCAUUAGAGUAAUUUCCUUAAGACUGCUACUAAAAGUGUUAACUCUGUCCUUAGUUGACACCCAUUGAGAAUUUGGGGUGAUUCUUCCAGUUAUAAUUGUACGUGUUACCAAAAUUUUAAUUUCCUUCUUUCUAUGCAUUACUCGUAAAAUUAACUAAUUCUAUAUUUUCUCUACUCAAUUUGACUGAAUGAUCACUACCUCUACUAACUUUGCACUAAGUAGGAAUUGGUUGCAAUACAUUUAUUAUGCCUAUGGCUAAGCCAAUUUCAACUUAUUGAAUAAGUAAUCAUAUAGUUCUGAAAAGCAACUAACUGUGCUUCCACUGUUGUGAUCCUAUCGACUUCUAACAUACCUACAACCUUCAUUACUAUACCUCCAGAAGCAUCUACAUUCCACUCUAGGUGGCCCUGUAAAAAUUAAUUUGAAAGAUUGUACAACUCAUCAUAAGUCUACUUUAGAGCUUGAUCUCUUCUACUAAAUCUAAUAAUAUUUUUGUGUAUAAGUCAAGACUUUCUAUAAUGGUGUGAGAUAGAACAUCAUUUUUUUGUUGGUUGAUGAUGGGAAACACCUAAGAAUAGAUUUAAAUCUAUCCAUGCUUGAUAUAUGUUUUCAUCCAGUUUCUACUUACAAUAAAAUAUCUCAAAUCUCAACUUUGUUGAGAUUUCAUAUAGGAAGAAUCGGAUCAAGAACUUCCUUGCAAGGUCAUCCCAUGUUGUGAUGAAAUUGUGUGGCUCUACCUUUAACCACAUCUUAACUUAUCCAAAAUGAGAAAUUAAGAAAAAUAUGAUCCUUACAUGGUUAGUCAAGACUCUUGUAGGUAUAUAAGUGUCAUUGAUCUCUAAAAAAUUUUGCAGGUGUUGUCAUAGAUCCUUAUAUGAGAGAUGAAACUGUAACGACCCAAAAUAUUCUCUCGGGACAUCACACGGUGCCUAAGGAUACGAGUAUUCCCAAGAUAAACCUUAGAGUCAGUUUCCACCAAUGACACUCAAUUCAAGACAAGAAUGUACUCAACACUAGCAUAGUCAUAUCACAUAAAAGGAAAUAUAGAAAAGAUACUCAGUUCAUAAGACCACAAUAUAGAGAAAUAUCAACAAAACCACAAUAUCGAAGCCUCGACACAUCACAAGUCUAAAACUAGUCCGACAAGCCUCUACAAAUCAAAAUCUAGAGAGCCGUUGGGACAGGUCCCCAAUUGACUCGAAAAGAACUAAAGAUAAAACAUAGUCUCUCAAGUAUGGUAAAUAUCUGAAGAUCAGUCCUCGAAUCAUGAGGGCUUACCACUAUAAAAAAAAUAGGCAAGGUACUUGAAGAAUCACGGGCGAGGCUGGGACUGAGCACCUGAACCUACAUUAUGACACAAUGUAGAAUAUAGACAUAUAUGUGGAUCAGUACUUGGAAUAUACUGAGUGUGCGGAGGUGAAUGCAUAUGAAUAAAAUAGUAACAAUUUUCUUUAAUCAAAUCAUGUAUGCAUUAUGAGACGAAUCACAUGGCUUGAACAAGUAUAAAUUAUAAAGCUUGUAAGUCAUGUAGAAUGGAGAAUGUAACACAAAUCUCAUGAGUCAUCAUUGUUUAAUGUAAUACUCCAGGAAAUUUUUCGUUGAAAUUUUGUGCGUAAAUGUGUCAGGUUCUAUCUUCUAGAAUGAAUUAUAAUUUUUUUCGUGUGUAAUGUCUUAUAGUAUGACCCACCAUUGCGUAGAGUAUCGAAUAAGCUUUCCAACGAUAUAUGGAUCAUCCAAAAUGGACACCCAAGCGAUGAGUUAUGAACAUUCCGAUCGAACUGUGAAUAGUAGUAAACAGUAAAACGUGCAGGAAAAAGUACUGAGGCCUGGCGUAUUUUUGCUCCAACUUUAAACAAUCAUAACUCCUUGUACAUAAUUAUCUGGGUGAUCUACUAUAUAUCAAUGAAAAUCUCUGUGAGCCCUCUUUCCAAUGAAAUUGGUUUCAUACAAUUUGUCUAUCGAAGAAAAAAGUUAUGGUCGAUCUAAUUCAGCCUAUCAAAAGUGAAUUUUUGGGUCAACUUCAAAUGAUCAUACCUCCUUGUACACAAUGAUCUGGGUGAGAUAAUAGUAUAUCAACAAAAAGAUAUGAGAGUCCUCUUUCUAAUAAAAUUAGUUUCAUCCAAUUUGGAUAUCCGAGUAAAACAUUAUGGUUGAUCUAUUUCAGACUAUCAAAAUAGUCCAUCAAAGAACAGAUUCGAGAAUUUACUUGAUUUUUAGGGGCGUUUUGGUCAUUCCCCCUCACCCAAAAUCCGUCCAAACCCUAUAUUAAAUCCUAUUAGAAGAAUUAUAUGUUAUAUUUCAUCAAAUUCCCUCAAAAAGAAAAUCCUAAGCUCCCUAAGCUCCUACAUCCAACUUCAAGAACCUCCAAAGUUCACCAUUAAUUCUGCAAAUUUAUUCAAGAUUCCAAGUUCCUAGUUCAAGAACUCCAAGAACCAUCAUUCAAAGGCACGAUUAACAUCUCAAAAAUGAGUAUCGAUCUAAAGUUCAUCAUUCAAGGUAUGUGGGGUUUUUUAACAAGAACUCUCUUUCGUUCUUGUGCCCAAAAGUAAUUUUCUUUACAAAGGCAUGAUUUUUAUUUGAUUUUUAUGAAUUUGAAGCAUGAACCCAUAUCUUAUGAUGAUUAUUAUGAAAUCUUGAUGUUUAUGAUUUUGAAAGAUGAAUUUACAUGUGUGGAGAUAUAAAGCAUGAAUCUUGAAUGAUAUUUAUCAUGAUUUUGAUAUUUGGAUCGUGAAUCCCCAUUGGAAAUUGUGAUUUUUGAGAAAGUGUGUGUUAUAAGUACGUUGAUAUUGAAUAUUUGAGAUAUUUUGAAUGAUUUCACUUUCUGAUCUUAAUGGAGUUGUUUUGAACUCGAGUGUGAAAGAAAUCUACAAGGUGGUUAAUUUUGAUAGAUUGGAAGCAUGAUGGCUCCCGAUGUAUAUUUAUAUAUUACUAAAAAUUGUUUUGCUGUAAAUUAUCUUUGAAAUGAUCUGAGCUAAGUCCGGGAGAAAUAUUUAGCACCGAGUGGGAGGUAUAAAGUGACCUUACUUCCCUAGAACUACGUGCCCCCAUAGGGGUGAUCCUGAGGCUGAUAUAUAGAGUGAUCAUAGUUUGUGUGGAUUUGAUAUCGAUAGUCCUACUUCGAUGGCAAGGAUAGGACGGCUCUCCCCAACGUGGGUUGUAUGUUGGACUCCAUGUAGCUCACAUGGUUUAUGUCGGUUAUAGGAUCUCCAAGUGUGUGUGUGUUUCCUUGUGUCUAUGGUGAACGGUGAAGUGAUUUGAAAGUGGAAUUAUUCUUUCGAAAGAUUUAAAUGAUAUUUACAUUAUGAGAAUUGAUAUUCUUGAUGAACUAAAAAUGAUUGACAAAUUAUAUGAUGACUCACAUGUGUUAUUGUACUUAUUUCAUCCUCUCAUGAUUAUGAUGAUUUUUUUGGGUUAUGUGAGUCUUUCAUACAUCCUACAUAUUUCUUAUAAAUAUUUAUGAUGAUGAUAUUUAUAAAACUGCAUACACCCCCAUAUACUAGGUUCCUCUCUAUGGUAUUGAUGCACAUCUUCGGAUGUGGGCUAUAUUUUCUCAGAAUGUAGGUUCAGGUGCUCAGUUCCAGGUUUGACAGUGAUUCUUUGGGCCCGCUAUUUUAUAUCCUCUAUUGUGGUGAGUCCUCAUGUUCCGAGGAUGUGAUUUCUGAUGUUGGUUUCAUGGAAUUAUUUACAUUUGAUAACUGAGUAUAAGUCAGUUGGGGCAUGUCACAAUGGCUCGCUGGUUUUAUUGAUUUUCUUAGAGGCUUGUCAGACUAGUAUAGAUGUUAGGAGUUGACUAAUAAGUCGUAUUUUGUUAUCUUUCUGAAAUUCUUUUAUUCUUGGAUGAUGAUUACUCUAUUGAUAUUUGAGGGUUAUUUAUGAAAACCCCAUUGAUUUGUGUUGAACUGAAUGAAAAUGGCUCAAAGGGUUAGCUUGGGGCUACUCGUAGCCUCAAACAUCGUGUGACACUUCGGGACCCGUUUUCAGGGGCGUUAGAAACUUGGUAUCAAAGCCUAAGGUUUUAAGGUAUCCUAGGGAGUCUGACAAGUUGCGUUAAGUAGAGUCUUAAUCAUCGGUGUGUAGCGCGCCACAUUUAUGAGUAAGAGGCUUCAAGACAUUUUAGGAAAAAGUGUGAUUUUUUCUUUCAGAAGUCUAUUGUUAUUAAAGUGUCUCUCUCUUCUAUUGAUUCGUGCUCUUAUCUUUCAGAAAUAUGUCUCCACAUUGAGCGAGAAAAAAUAAUGAUGGUCAGCAACCUUAACCCGCUGAUCCAUUAAAUGAAAAUGUGUCUCAUGCUGAAUUUCGGGCAGCCUUUUAGGCACUGGCCCAAGCUGUUACUGCAAAUAUUCAGGCCAAAUCGACCCCAGAUCCACAGCAGCAGGGAGGUAAUUCAGCUGCUGCCAGGAUCCAUGACUUUAUGCGGAUGAAUCCAUCGGAAUUCUAUGGGUCCAAGUAUGAUGAGGAUCCAUGGUUAUUUUUAGAUGAGGUACAGAAGAUUACUCAGGUGAUGCAUGUAUCAGAGGAUCAUAGGGUGGAGUUGGCUGCGUAUAGGUUGAAAGACCUUGCUUAUGACUAGGUUGUUGCUUGGAGGAAAGGUAGAGGUGAGGGAGCUGUCCCUACAACUUGGCAAGAGUUCCAGGAUGCAUUCCUGGAUAAUUUUUUCCCUUUGAAAAUAAGAGAGGCGAAGGUGGAAGAGUUUAUGAACCUGCGACAGGGCUCUAUGACUAUUAGAAAGUACUGUCUAAAGUUCAAUUAGUUGGCCAGGUAUGCUCCUGACUUAGUGGCUGAUAAUCGGGCUAGUAUGAGUAAGUUUAUGACUGAAGUGUCAAGUUAUGUGGUUAAGGAGUAUAGGUCUGCCAUGCUGAAUAGUGAGAUAAAUUUUUCUAGGCUGAUGACUUAUGUCCAAUAGAUUGAGGCAGACAAUAUUAAGGAGAGAGAUAUAAUGAGAGGGAAUAAGAGAGCUAGGUUUGAGCAGCACGGAUAGGGUCAAACUAGAUCGCAGGGAGGGAGUCGCCCUUAGUAUCAAGACCGUUCAUCUAUGCCAGCACCAUCAUCUGCUAGUGCUACCGUACCUAGAGGUAGGAAGGAUCAAAGUAGCAGGACAUAUGCAUCCAGGUCCCAGUAUAGUACUGGCAGUAAGCCAAAUCGUCCCCUAUGUCCUAAGUAUGGUAGUGCUCAUUCGGGUGAGUGUGGGGGUGAGAAGAGGGGUUGUUUUUGAUGUGGUGACAUGGGUCACAGAGUUAGAGAUUGUAUACAAGAUGGAUAAGGGCAUCGUGACUAUCGCCCUUUGACCUAGACUCAGACUUUUAGUGCUCCAGUUCCAGCGACUCGCCCAGCCUCAGCUCAGGACGCCUCUUCCAGCAAUGCUGGAGGGUAGCGCCAGAAUAGAUUCUAUACUUUACCGUCCCACCAGGAAAAGGAGGACUCUCCCGAUGUUGUUACUGGUAUACUUUGUAUAUUUUAGUUUGAUGUGUAUGCUUUGUUGGAUCCUGGAUCCAGUUUCUCAUAUGUUAUGCCUUUGAUUGCUGUGAAUUUUGAAAUGAGUCCUGAGAUUAUUCCUGAGCCUAUCCUAGUUUCUACCCCAGUGGGUGAUUCGAUUAUUGCCCAGAAAGUGUAUAAAAAGUGUCCUGUUAUCAUUCUUCAUAGAGUCUUGUUGUUGGCUGAUCUGAUUGAGUUAGACAUAGUAGAUUUUGAUAUGAUUCUGGGUAUGGACUAGCUGUAUUCUUUUUAUGCCUCUAUUGAUUGUCAAACCUAAGUGGUCAACUUUUAGUUUUCGGGUGCAUCCAUGUUUGAGUGGUCUGGGAAUUCUGUGUCACCCAAGAGUCAUUUUAUCUGUUACCUUAAAGCUAGAAAUCUUAUUUCCAAGGGAUGUAUUUACCAUUUGGUUAGAGUUAAAGACACUAAAUCUGAGACUCCAACUCUCUAGUCUGUUAACGUUGCUAAUGAGUUUUCUGAUGUCUUUCUGGAUGAUCUCCUAGGGAUACCUCCUGACAGAGAGAUAGAGUUCGGGAUUGAUCUUCUUCCUGAUACUCAGCCCAUUUCUAUUCCUCCUUACCGUAUGGCCCCUUCAGAACUUAAAGAGUUGAAAGAGCAACUCAAAGAUCUACUAGAUAAGAGUUUCAUAAGGCCCAGUGUUUCUCCUUGGGGUGCUCCUAUGUUGUUUGUGUGAAAGAAAGAUAGCUCUUAGCGUAUGUGCAUUGAUUACCGCCAGUUGAAUAAAGUCACCAUAAAAAAUAAGUACCCCCUUCUGAGAAUAGAUGAUUUGUUUGACCAAUUGCAAGGUGCAAGUUAUUUCUCAAAGAUAGCCCUUUGUUCUGGCUAUCAUCAACUCAAAGUUAGGGAGUGUGAUAUCCCAAAAACCGCUUUCUGAACUCGUUAUGGCCAUUUUAAGUUUCUUGUUAUUUCUUUCGGGUUAACUUAUGCCCCAACAGCUUUCAUGGACCUCAUGAAUCGUGUGUUCAGGAUCUACUUCAGACUACCAAAACAGUCCACCAAAGGACAGAUUCGAGAAUUAUUUGAUUUUUAGGGGUGUUUUGGUCAUUCCCCCUCACCCAAAAUCUGUCCAAACCCUAUAUUAAAGCCUAUUAGAAACAUUAUAUGUUAUAUUUCAUUAAAUUCCCUCAAAUAGAAAACCCUAAGCUCCUACAUCCAACUUCAAGAACCUCCAAAGUUCACCAUUAAUUCUGCAAAUUUAUUCAAGAUUCCAAGUUCCUAGUUGAAGAACUCUAAGAACCAUUAUUCAAAGGCACGAUUAACAUCUAAAAAAAGAGUAUCGAUCUAAAGUUCAUCAUUCAAGGUAUGUGGGGGUUUUCAAAAAGAACUCUCUUUCAUUCUUGUGCCCAAAAGUAAUUUUCUUUACAAACGCAUGAUUUUUAUUUGACUUUUACGAAUUUGAAGCAUGAACCCGUAUCUUAUGAUGAUUAUUAUGAAAUCUUGAUGUUUAUGCUUUUGAAAGAUGAAUUUACAUGUGUGGAGAUAUAAAACAUGAAUCUUGAACGAUAUUUAUCAUGAUUUUGAUAUUUGGGUCGUGAAUCCCCAUUGGAAAUUGUNNNNNNNNNNNNNNNNNNNNNNNNNNNNNNNNNNNNNNNNNNNNNNNNNNNNNNNNNNNNNNNNNNNNNNNNNNNNNNNNNNNNNNNNNNNNNNNNNNNNNNNNNNNNNNNNNNNNNNNNNNNNNNNNNNNNNNNNNNNNNNNNNNNNNNNNNNNNNNNNNNNNNNNNNNNNNNNNNNNNNNNNNNNNNNNNNNNNNNNNNNNNNNNNNNNNNNNNNNNNNNNNNNNNNNNNNNNNNNNNNNNNNNNNNNNNNNNNNNNNNNNNNNNNNNNNNNNNNNNNNNNNNNNNNNNNNNNNNNNNNNNNNNNNNNNNNNNNNNNNNNGAGGCUGAUUUAUAUAGUGAUUACUAGUUUGUGUGGAUUUGAUAUCGAUAGUCCUACUCCGAUGGCAAGGAUAGGAUGGCUCUCCCCAACGUGGGUUGGAUGUUGGAGUCCAUGUGGCUCACAUGGUUUAUGUCGGUUUUAGGAUCUCCCAGUAUGUGUGUGUUUCCUUAUGUCUAUGGUGAAUGGUGAAGUGAUUUGAAAGUGGAAUUGUGAAAGUUAUUAUUUCGAAAGAUUUAAAUGAUAUUUACAUUGUCAGAAUUGAUAUUCUUGAUGAACUGAAAGGGAUUAACAAAUUAUAUGAUGACACAAAUAUGUUAUUGUACUUAUUUCAUCCUCUCAUGAUUAUGAUGAUUUUCUUCGGGCUAUGUGAGUCUUUCAUACAUCCUGCAUAUUUCUUAUAAAUAUUUAUGAUGAUGAUGUUUAUAAAACUGCAUACACCCCCAUACACUCAGUUCCUUUCCCUGAUAGUGACGCACAUCUUGGGAUGUGGGCUGCAUUUUCUCUGAAUGUAGGUUCAGGUGCUCAAUUCCAGGUUCGACAGUGAUUCUUCGGGCACGCUGUUCUACAUCCUCUGUCGUGGUGAGUCCUCAUGUUCUGAGGACAUGAUUUCUGAUGUUGGUUUCAUGGAAUUGUUUACAUUUGAUAACUGAUUAUGAGUUAGUUGGGGAAUGUCUCAAUGGCUCGCUGGUUUUAUUGAUUUUCUAAGAGGCUUGUCAGACUAGUAUAGAUGUUGGGAGUUGACUAAUAAGUCAUAUUUUGUUAUCUUUCUGAAAUUGUUUUAUUCUUGGAUGAUGAUUACUCUGUUGAUAUUUGAGGGUUAUUUAUGAAUACCCUGUCGAUUCGUGUUGAACUGAAUGAAAAUAGCUCAAAGGGUUAGCUUGGGGAUACUCGUAGCCUCAAGCACUGUGUGAUGCUCCGGUUCCUGUUUUUGGAGCGUUAGAAGCAUUUGUUUUAAUUUCUCUUUCAACUCUCAUAAUUCUUUAGGGGCCAUUCUAUACAAAGGAAUUAAGAUUGGUUGAGUACCUGGAAUCACAGGAAUACCAAACUCUACCGCUUAUUCUAGAGGAAAACCUGGAAUAUCUUUAGAAAAUACAUUGGGAAAUUCAUUUAUCACUAGAAUAGUUUGAAGAGUUAGUGGCUCCGCAUCUGUAUCCUUCACUCUAACUAGAUGAUAUAUCUAACCCUCGGAAAUCAUCCCUUUUACCUAAAAAUAAGAAAUAUGUUUGCCUCUUGGUGCACCAAUAUCACCCCUUCAAUCAAGGAUUGCCUCUAUUGGAAAAUGGAAAUACACCCUCUUAGUUCGGCAAUCUACUGUGGCAUAACAAGAAGCCACCUAGUCCAUACCCAUUAUAACAUCAAAAUCUACCAUUUCUAACUCAACAAGAUCUGCCAUUAAAUCACGACAAAAACUUGUUAUGAUACAGUUUUGAUACACUCUUCAAGCUAUAAUAAAUUCACCAACCGGCAUAGACACUUCAAAUGUCUUACCUAGUAAUUCUUGUUUUCUUUUGAACUUUCUAUCAACCAAUGGAGCGACAUAUGAUAACGUAGAACCCGGAUCAAUUAAUGCAUAUAUAUUAUGUGUAAAGAUGGACAAUGUACCUAUAACCACAUUUGGAGAAGCCUCUAAAUUUUAUCGAUCCGCUAAGCAUAUGUACGAUUCUGAACUCUACUAGAGCUAGCUGCUCCUUUAGCACCUAUACUAUAACCUAUAGGUUUUACAUCCCUACCUAAAUAAGGCAUUUAUGAUGAUGAUGAUGCAAAAAUGGAUCCAGUAGGUCGUUCCAUACCACCCAUGACUCUUUGUGGGCAUUCUCUCAUUAUAUACCCCAACGCACCACACCAAAAGUAAGCAUUUGUCCCAAAUCGACAUGCACCCAAAUGAAGCUUUCCAUAUUAUAUACAUGGAUGUUGAGGAGGUAUUAAUUGGCUCAUACUCCCUUGCUCUUGAUACCCCAUUGCUCAUGACCUCUAACAUUCACUUCUUUCCCCAAAUUGAUUGCCCUUGGACCCUUAAAAUAGUAAUGAAGCACUAGCUGCAGAAUAAGAAGAUAGUGGCCUAGGCAGUCUAUUAGAAAAUUGAGGCCUCAACUCUCUUUGGGAUGCCAUAAAUUGCCCCAUAGAUCUGGCCCUCUUAGAAUACCCUAUUUCCAAUUCUUAUGUUCUUCUUCUUUGCCUCUGAUCCUCUAUUUUUUGUGCAAAAUCUUGUAUCCUUGCUAUAUCCAUGUGUUUUUUCAAGGAAACAAUAGUAAAAUAUCUAAAUAGAUAUGGAUCCAAUCUAUCCAUAUAUCGAUGGGCUCUGUCAUCCAUAGUAGUUACUACAUUAGGAGCAUACCUAGCCAAAGAGCUAAACUGGAGGUUGUACUCCCUCAUGCUUAUAUUCCAUUAGAAAAGAUUCAGCAACUGAUCAACACGGGCCUCUGAAACCUCAAAUGGAAGGUAUUGAUCAAGAAAUUCCUCUUUGAACUCUUUCCAGCUAGCCGAAGGUGCAUCGAUACCCCUAGAUCAUUUCCAAUCUUCAUACAAAAAUAUAGCCUCACCUUUGAAUCUAUAUGCUGCUAGCUCAACUGUCACUUUAACCAGUAGAUACAUGACAUCUAGAGACGUUUGUAUUUGAUAAAUAAAGUCCUAUGGAUCUUCAUUAAGAUCUGAUCUGGUGAAUGUGGGAGGAUCCAACUUAAGAAAAUCCUACGUCUAUAGGCUAGCUGCCCUUUCUGCACUACUAGAACCUAACAUGUCCUUGAGCAUGUCCAGCAACUAUACAAGUUAUCAAUUGCACCUCAUUCCUUAUAUCUUGCUUAUUAUAAUUAAUAGGUGGUUCUGAGGAUGCUGUUUCCCACCCCCUAGCUCUUCUGAAGAUGCAAGAGUAGAAGAGGUUUGUGAUACAAACUGAGCUUGGGCCUCACUUUGAUUAGCUUGUCUAGGUGGGGACUUGUUGGUCCCUUCUUCGAUAGCCAUAUCUACUUUUUUAAGUAUAUUCUUACUCCUUCUUGUAACAAGUAUCUUUACUAUAAUAAGAAGAAAAACAAAUUCAAUGGUUAAAUAUGACUUCACCUACUACUUGGACCAUAUUGCACGAUCUAAGAUGUGAAGAAAAGAGACAACCCCUAAAUGUCCCAUAGCCUUCUAUUUAUAGAUGUGGUGCACAAUACAACCAUAAGAAAAACUCUAUGUAGACAUGGCUGACAGACACCCAUAGCCGUAGAUAUCUUAUCCAUGUAAAUAUGAUAACCGAAGGUUCUGCCAAAUAUGAUACAAUGCAUCAAUGCGAACAACCAUUUGGGCAAGCACAAAAUUAAAUGUAUAAGACUUGGCUGUUGGGGCCACAACAUCUAAGAGACAAGACACUACCAUUAUUAAUUUUACAUUGGUCUACAAAGCCUCUAAAAGAUACAUAAACACUUAGUUAAGAUCGGAAAAAAACCCCCGACUUACCCUUAAUUAGUGUACAGUACCAAAAUAUAUAAAAUAGACUCAGAAAACUCCAAAAUAACUAGAUCUCACCAAUAAUCACUGGAUAUGUUAUGCUCCUACUAGCGAGGUGUAUUAGCUGAAGCACUUCUGACUGUGAAAUGUAGGCCCCCCAUGAGGGACGUUAGUACGAAAAUAUGUACUGAAUAUAUAAGGAUGAAGGUAAAUAUAUAUGAUACAAGAGAUUAAUAAAAAUCAAAUAAAUAGUGCUAGUAGACCCCCUUUAUAUAUAUUUAUCGGAUCAGGCACAUUACAUUCUUUUCUCCAUUUUACCUUUUUUUAUUCAUAAUCUUUAUAAUCUGUAUAAUACAAAUGUCUACCUGAUCAGUUGUAAAUACACAAAUUGGGAUCGGCCCAUGCUAGGGUUACGCCCUUGAGCUACCACCCAUAUAUUAAUAGAUUUGGAUCGGCCUAUUUAGGCUUUUUCCCCUAAACUGCUACCCACAUAUAAUGGCAUCAAGAUCGAGCUAUGUUAGGCUUAUGCCCCUGAGUUACCACUCGUUCAAUUAAGAUUUACGUUACAUAGUUUAUUUAGCCUUUGUGAUUGUUACUUUGGUGGUCAUGACAUUUUGGCACCUUUGAACAAUAAUCCAUUAAUAAGAGACAUGUGAAUAAACACUUAAUGCUAUAACAAAGAGAUCUAGGGCAGAUUGUACACGAAUAAAAUGUUUAGGAGUUGAAAAUAACAUAUAGGUAUUAUUUGACUUAAAGGAAAACUCUUAAGACUUUUUAGUAAAUGUAAAAAUACAAACUUGAUAAUAAUCAUGUGGUAAGGUAUUUCAACAUACUAGGGAGUGGGAGCAAGCUCCUUAACUAGAUGGGAGAUCAUAUGAUGCUAGGAACCUGUAGGCAAAAAGGCCAUAGAGCACCAACCUAUGACACUGUAAAUCUCAUACAUAAACAUAUCAUAACCAAAGGUCCUGACAAAUAUGAUACAAUACAUUAAUAAGAACAACCACGUGGGCAAGCAUAAAAUAAUAUUGACAAGUCUUGGCCAUUGGGGCCAGAAUAUCUAAGAGACAAGACAUUACCAUGCUUAAUUUUACAUUGGUAUACAAAGCUUCUAAAAGAUACAUAGACACUUGGUUAAUGUCUGGAUUAACCCCUUCCUUAGCCUCAACUACUAUACAAUACCAAAAUAUAUAAAAUAGACUCGAAAAGACCUGAAUAAACCAGGAGCUCACAAAUAGUCACUAGAUAUCCUGUGCUACUAUUAGCGAGGUGUAUUAGCUAAAGCACCUAUGCCUGCAGCAUGAAAUACAGCCCCCAUAAGGGACGUCAGUAUGAAAAUAUGUACUGAAUAUGUAAGGCUAAAUGUAACUACACAUGAAACAUGAGCUCAAUAAAAAUAAGAUACAAGUGUAUAAAUAAUGUAAGUAGACCACCUUUAUAUAUAUUUGUGGGAUCAGGUACAUUAUAAUUUUCUCUUCAUUUUUCCAUUUUUACAUCAUAAUCUUUGUAAGCGAUAUAAUACAAAUGUCCAACUGAUUAGUGGUAAACACAUAAAUUGGGAUCGACUCAUACUAGGCUUACGCCCGUGAGAUACCACCCAUAUAUAAGUAGAUUGGUAUUGGACCAUGAUAUGAUUUUUCCCCUGAGCUUCCACCCAUAUAUAAAGGUAUCAAGAUCGUGCCAUGCUAGGCUUAUUCUUCUGAGCCGUCACCCGUUCAAUUAAGAUUUGUGUUAUAUAGUUUAUUUAGCCUUUGAGAUUAUUACUUUGGUGGUCAUAACUGUCCCUUUGAACAAUAAUAUACCAAUAAGAUACAUGUGAAUAAACACUUAAUGCCAUGACAAAGAGAUAUGGAGUAGAUUGUACACGAUGAAAUAUUUAGAGAGAUAUGGAGUAGAUUGUACACGAUGAAAUAUUUAGGAGUUGAAAAUAUCAUAUGGGUCUUAUUUGACUUAAAGAAGAACUCUUAAGACUUGCUCUUGAAUGUAAAAAUAUAGGCUUGAUAAUAAGCAUAUGGUAAGGUAUUUUAACACAUUAGGGAGUGGGAGCAAGGUCAUUAGCUAAAUGGGACAUCUUAUGCUACCUGGCACUUGUAGUCGUAAAGGCCAGAAAGCACCAAUCUAUGACCCUGUACAUCUCAUGAAUGUAAAUAUGAUAACCAAAGGUUCUACCAAAUAUGAUACAAUGCAUCAAUGAGAACAACCAUGUGGUAAGCACAUAAUUAUAUAUACAAGACUUGGUCGUUGGGGCCACAACAUCUAAGAGAUAAUAUACUACCAUGCUUAAUCUUACAUUAGCCUACAAAUCCCCUAAAUAUAUAUAAACACUUAGUUAAGGUCGGGACAAACCCCCACCUUACCCUUAACUACUGAAAGUCACCAAUAGUCACUGGAUAUGCUGUGCUCUUACUAGUGAGUUCUAUUAGCUGAGGCACCUAUGCCUGCAGCAUGAAAUACAGGCCCCCCGUGAGGGACGUCAGUACAAAAAUAUGUACUGAAUAUGUUAGGCUGAAGUAACUAUAUAUGAUACAAGAGCUCAAUAAAAAUUAGAUACAAGUUUAUAAAUAGUGCUAGUAAACCCCCUUUGUAUAUAUUUGUGGGAUCAGGUACAUUACAUUCUUUUCUUUAUUUUACCCUUUUUACUUCAUAAUCUUUGUAAGACAUAUAAUACAAAUGUCCAACUGAUAAGUGGUAAAUACAUCAAAUUAGGAUCGGCCCAUGCUAGGCUUACGCCCCUGAGUUGCCACCCAUAUAUAAAUAGAUUGAGAUCGUCCCAUGCUAAUCUUUUUACCUAAGCUUCCACCCAUUAUAAAGGCAUUGAGAUCGGUCCAUGCUAGGCAUUAUACCAAUGAGAUGCCACCCAAUCAAUUAAGAAUUACAGUACAUAAUUUAUUUAGCCUUUGAUAUAGUUACUUUGGUGGUCAUAACAUUUUGGUACCUUUGAACAAUAAUCUACCUAUAAUAGACAUGUGAAUAAAUACUUAAUGCCAUGAUAAAGAGAUAUGGAGCAGAUUGUACAUGAAUGAAAUGUUUAGGAGUUGAAAAUAACAUAUGGGUCUUAUUGACUUAAAGGAGAUCUCCUGAGACUUGUUAGUGAAUGUAAAAAUCCAGACUUGAUAAUAAGCACAUGGUGAGGAUUUCAACACACUAGGGAGUGGUAGAAAGGUCGUUAUCUAGAUAGGAGAUCAUGUACUGCCAGGUACCCGUAGCCGUAAAGGCCAUAAAGCACCAACCUAUGACACUGUACGUCCUAUGCAUGUAAAUAUGAUAACCAAAGGUUCUGCCAAAUAUGACACAAUGCAUCGAUGAGAACAACCACGUGGGCAAGCAAAAAUUAUAUAUACAUGAAUUGGCCGUUGGGACCACAAUAUCUAAGAGUCAAGACAUUACCAUGUUUAAUUUUAAAUUAGUUUACAAAUAUUCUAAGAGAUACAUAGACACUUAGUGAUGGUCGGGACAAACCCCCGCCUUACCCUUAACUACUGUACAAUAUCAAAAUAUAUUGAAUAAACUUGAAAAGCCCUGAAUCAACUUGGAGCUUACCUAUAGUCACUGGAUAUCCUGUGCUUCUACUAGCGAGGUGUAUUAGCUAAAGCACCUAUGCCUGUAGCAUGAAAUACAGGCACCCAUAAGGGAUGUCAAUACAAAAAUAUGUACUAAAUAUGUAAGGCUAAUGAUAACUACACAUGAUACAAGAGCUCAAUAAAAAUAAGAUACAAGUGUAUAAAUAGUACUAGUAGACCACCUUUAUAUAUAUUUGUGGGAUCAGGUACAUUACAUUUUUAUCUGUAUUUUGCCCUUCUUACUUCAUAAUCUUUCUAAGCCAUAUAAUGUAAAUGUCCAACUGAUUAGUGGUAAACACACAAAUUGGAAUUGGCCCAUGCUAGACUUACGCCCCUAAGAUGCCACCCAUAUAUAAAAAAAUUGGGAUUAUCCCAUGCUAGGAUUUUUACCCUAAGUUGCCACCAACAUAUAAAGGUAUCGGGAUCCAUCCAUGUUAGGCUUAUACCCCUGAGCCUCCACCCGUUUAAUUAAAUUUGUGUUACAUAGUUUGUUUAGCCCUUUGAGAUUGUUACUUUGGUAGUCAUAACACUUUGGUACCUUUGAACAGUAAUCUACCAAUAAGAGACAUGUGAAUAAAUAGUUUAUGUCAUGACAAAGAUAUAUGGAGCACAUUGUACACGAAUGAUAUAUUUAGGAGUUGAAAAUAACAUAUAGGUCUUAUUUGACUUAAAGGAGAACUCUUGAGACUUGCUAGUGAAUGUAAAAAUACAGAGUUGAUAAUAAGCAUGCGGUGAGGUAUUUUAACACAUUAGGGAGUCAAAGAAAGGUUGUUAGUUAGAUGGGAGAUCUUGUGCUGCCAGGAACCUAUUGCCAUAAAGGCCGGACAACACCAUUCUAUGACCUUGUACAUCUUAUGCAUGUAAAUAUGAUAACAAAAGGUUCUAUCAAAUAUGAUGCAAUUCAUCAAUGAGAACAACAACGUGGGCAAGCAUAAAGUAAUAUAUACAAGAUUUGCCAAUAGGACCACAACAUCUAAGUGACAAUACAAUACUAUGCGUAAAUUUACAUUGGUCUACAAAAUCCUCUAAAAGAUACAUAGAUACUUAGUUAAGGUCAGGAAAAACUCCUACCUUACCCUUAACUACUAUACAAUACCAAAAUUUAUAAAAUAGACUCGUAAAGCAUCGAAUCACCCUGGAGGUCUCCAAUAGUCACUGGAUAUACUGUGCUCCUACUAGCGAGGUGUAUUAGCUGAGCACCUGUUCCUGCAGCAUGAAAUAUAGGCCCCCUUGAGGGACAUCAGUACGAAAAUAUGUACUGAAUAUAUAAGGCUAAAGGUAAAUACCCAUGAUACAAGAGCUCAAUGAAAAUCAGAUACAAGUGUAUAAAUAGUGCUAGUAGACCACCUUUAUAUAUAUUUGUUGGAUCUGGUACAUUACAUUUUUUUUUAUUUUAUCCUUCUUUCUUCAUAAUCUUUGUAAGCCAUAUAAUGCAAAUUUCCAACUGAUUAGUGGUAAACAGACAAAUUUAGAUCGGCCCAUGCUAGGCUUAUGCCCCUGGCUGCCACUAUAUGUAAAUAGAUUGGGAUCGACCCAUGCUAGGCCUUUUCCUCUAAGCUGCCACCCACAUAUAAAGGUAUUGGGAUUGGCCCAUGCUAGGUUUAUGCCCAUAAGCUUCCAACCAUUCAAUUAAAAUUUAUCUUACAUAGUUUAUUUAGCCUUUGAGAUUGUUACUUUGGUGGUCAUAAUAUUUUGGUACCUUUGAACAAUAAUCUACCAACAAGAGACAUGUGAAUAAAUACUUAAUGCCAUGACUAAGAUAUAUAGAUAUUGUACAUGAAUGAAAUGUUUAGGAGUUGAAAAUAACAUAUGGGUCUUAGUGACUUAAAUGAUAACUCUUGAGACUUUGUAGUGAAUGUAAAAAUGCAGAAUUAAUAAUAAGAAUAUGGUGAGGUAUUUUAACAUAUUAGGGAUUGGGAGCAAGGCCAUUAUCUAGAUGGGAGAUCAUGUGCUGCUAGUCACCUAUAGUCGUAAAGGCCAGAGAGCACCAAUCUAUGACCCUGUAUAUAUCAUUCAUGUAAAUAUGAUAGCUAAAGGUUCUGCCAAAUAUCAUACAAUGCAUCGAUGAGAACAACCAUAUGGGUAAGCACAAAAUAAUAUAUACAAGACUUGGCCGUUGGGGCCACAACAUCUAAGAGACAAUACACUACCAUGCCAAAUUUUACAUUGGUCUACAAUGCCUUUAAAACAUACAUAAACACUUAGUUAAGGUUGGGACAAACCCCCACCUUACCCUUAACUAAUGUAUACUACCAAAAUAUAUAAAAUAGACUUGAAAAACCCGAAAUCCACCUGGAGCUCUUCAAUAGUCAUUGGAUAUCCUGUGCUCCUACUAGUGAGCUGUAGUAGUUGAAACACUUAUGCUUACAAUAUCAAACGCAAGCCCCCCUUGAGGGACGUCAGUUAAAAAAAUAUGUAUUUAAUAUGUAAGGCUGAAGGUAACUACACAUGAUAUAAGAACUCAUUAAAAAUCAGAUACAAGUGUAUAAAUAGUGCUAGUAGACCACCUUUAUGUAUAUUUGUGGAAUCAGGUACAUUGCAUUAUUUUCUUUAUUUUACCAAAGGAAAGAUUUGAGUAUUAUUUGAUUUGUAGGGGCGUUCUCGUCAUUCCCCCUCACAUAAAAUCCGUCCAACCCUAUAUUAAAGCCUAUUAGAAGUAUUAUAUGUUAUAUUUCAUCAAAUUCUCUAAAAAAGAAAACCCUAAGCGCUUACAUCCAACUUCAAGAACCUCCAAAGUUCACCAUUAAUUCUGCAAAUUUAUUCAAGAUUCCAAGUUCCUAGUUCAAGAACUCCAUGAACCAUCACUAAAAGGCAUGGUUAACAUCUCAAAAAUGAGUAUCGAUCUAAAGUUCAUCAUUCAAGAUAUGUGGGGUUUUUCCACAUCUCUUUCGUUCUUGUGCCCAAAAGUAAUUUUCUUUACAAAGGCAUGAUUUUUAUUUGAUUUUUACAAAUUUGAAGCAUGAACCCAUAUCUUAUGAUGAUUAUUAUGAAAUCUUGAUGUUUAUGAUUUUGAAAGAUGAAUUUACAUGUGUGGAGAUAUAAAUCAUGAAUCUUAAACGAUAUUUAUCAUGAUUUUGAUAUUUAAGUCAUGAAUCCCCAUUGAAAAUUGUGUUUUUUUGAGAAAGUGUGUGUUAUAAGCACGUUGAUGUUGAAUAUUUGAGAUAUUUUGAAUGAUUUGACCUUUUGGUUUUAACGGAGUUAUUUUGAACUCGAGUGUAAAAGAAAUCCACAACGUGGUUGAUUUUGAUAGAUGGGAAGCAUGAUGGCUCCCGAUGUAUAUUUAUAUAUUUGAGAGGUAUAAAGUGACCUUACUUUACUAGAACUACGUGCCCCCGUAGGAGUGAGUCUGAGGCUGAUUUAUAUAGUGAUCACUAGUUUAUGUGGAUUUGAUAUUGAUAGUCCUACUCCGAUGGCAAGGAUAGGAUGGCUCUCCCCAACGUGGGUUGGAUGUUGGAGUCCAUGUGGCUCACAUGGUUUAUGUCGGUUUUAGGAUCUCCCAGUAUGUGUGUGUUUCCUUAUGUCUAUGGUGAAUGGUGAAGUGAUUUGAAAGUGGAAUUGUGAAAGUUAUUAUUUCGAAAGAUUUAAAUGAUAUUUACAUUGUCAGAAUUGAUAUUCUUGAUGCACUGAAAGUGAUUGACAAAUUAUUUGAUGACUCACAUGUGUUGUUGUACUUAUUUCAUCCUCUCAUGAUUAUGAUGAUUUUCUUUAGGCUAUGUGAGUCUUUCAUACAUCCUGCAUAUUUCUUAUAAAUAUUUAUGAUGAUGAUGUUUAUAAAACUUCAUACACUCCUAUAUACUCGGUUCCUUUCCCCGGUACUGACCUACAUCUUCAGAUGUAGGCUGUAUUUCUCUGAAUAUAGGUUCAGGUGCUUAGUUCCAGGUUAGACAGUGAUUCUUCGGGCAUGCUGUUCUAUAUCCUCUGUCGUGGUGAGUCCUCAUGUUCCGAGGACAUGCUGUCUGAUGUUGGUUUCACAAAAUUGUUUACAUUUGAUAACUGAGUAUGAGUUAGUUGGGGCAUGUCUCAAUGUCUCGCUGGUUUUAUUGAUUUUCUUAGAGGGUUGUCAGACUAGUAUAGUUGUUUGGAGUUGACUAAUAACUUGUAUUUUGUUAUUUUGCUAAAAUUCUUUUAUUCUUGGAUGAUGAUUACUCUGUUGAUAUUUGAGGAUUAUUUAUGGAAACCCCGUCGAUUUAUGUUGAACUGAAUGAAAAUGGCUCAAAGGGUUAGCUUGUGGCUACUCAUAGCCUCAAGCACCGUGUGACGCUCCGCGACCAUUUUCAAGGGCGUUACAUUUAAUCUCAAAAUUCGAAAUCUUCUCUUGUUCUCAAUACCCAAAGGCUAAGGGACUUUAAACAAUACUUUCAACUCAUGCAUAAGUCUCAUGGAGAGUAAAACUUCUUCAAUUCUCAACAUUUCAUAACUAUUUAGAACUCAUAUACUUGGAAUUAGAAAUCAUAUAACUUGAAAACAUACUUGAAGGCAUUUCAUUCACUUUAGGAAAAUAUCUCAUCUCAAGCUUUAGGGAAAUCACUCCAUCUCAAAUAGAAAGGCAUUCUAGUUUAUGGAAACAACUUAUCUUGAAGCUUUAUAAAAAGUACUAUAACAAGGGAAGAUACUUUCAUUUAGGAAAUAACUCACAUCAAGAAAAUACUUUAGUUGGGAAAACAUCUUUGCAAUUCAACAAUUUAGAAAAAUAGCUUAUUAGGAAGUAAAAUAAGUAUUUGAUCUCGAAGUCUAAAUGUCAAGGGAGGUUCUCGUAACCGAUAUAAACCAUGCGAGCUACAUGGAUUCCAACGUUUUGUCCUCGUAAGGAAGAGACCCUACGUUGGAGAGGAGCGUCAUACUUUUGCCAGAGAGAAAAAUCUAGGUCUAGUGAUUACUAAACAAAACUCGGCCUCGGGCUUAAUCAUAAUCAUCAUAAACUUGGCCAUAGGCCCAACCUACGGUGGUACAUAGUUUUGGGGUAAGAAACUGUAGUAACUUACCCACUCGGUGCUAAAUACUACUCCCAUUAGAUUAUCAGGGAUCAUCUCAUAAAAAUCCACUUUUAGAAUAAUCACAUGGUUCACCACGAACUCAAUAAUCAAAUCGAUAAUCUCAUAGAGUGAAGUGGAUUUCAAAGCUCAAGGACCAUUAGGUCAAUUCAUUUCUCAAUCAUCUCAAAAUACUCAAAACAUGGGUGCUCAUAGCACAAGAGUUCAUAAUUUCACAAGUCUCAAAUAGGGCUUACUAACCCAUUAUUCAAUCCCAAGUUAAAGCUUAUCAAAAGCAUAAUAUAUAGCAUAUAGAUUCAUAAAUCAUGUGAAAAUCAGGGAAUUUCAGCAAGUUACCUCAAAAUCUCAAUAUUUCCAUAUGCUUCAAUAUCUUAACAAUGCAAAUAUUAGCUUAUCAAGGAGUAAAAUCAUGGGGUUUAUACCCAGCUGUAAAUACUCAUGAAAACAUGUAGAAAUCAUACCAUUUGACUCUUAAUUCCUAGGAAAUAUCAGUAUAAUACAUUCAAUAAUAAUUGGUGAAAAAACCAAUUCAAAUUCAUGUAAAAAACCUCAUAUAUUUUAAGAAUUUCAUGAUAUAAUAACCUUUUGGACACAAGGGUGAAAGGGUUACCCUUGUUUAAAAACCCCACAUACCUUGAAUUAGAAGCUUUUGAUGAACUCUCACUUUUGGAACACUAUUUGUGUACUAGAAUGAGGGUUAUUAAGGCCCUUGACUUGGGAACCUUCAAUCUUGACUUAAUUUAGUAAAUCAUGGUGGAUUCUUGAGGUUCUUGGAAGAGGUUUUUGAUACUUAGGGUUUAUAUUGAGAGAAAAUUUAGGAAAAACCUCAUAAGAUGCUUGUAACUGGCUUUAAUUUAGUGUUUCCACAAUUUUAUAGGCUUUGAAAAGGUCCAAAGUUCCCUUUUAAACAUUUGUACAAAACUUGAAAAACUGAACUGGAACCCGAUUUCAUUGGCCUCUGCAACGCGCCACUUAUCGCGGUGGCUCACUGGAAUUUGACAAUUGGGAAAUUGGCAGCCUCCGCAAUGCGGACCCAUGGAGUUUUCCCACUGGUUGGGACUUGGGACUCCUCUGCGAUGCGCCACUAUCACGGGGUUCCACUGGAAAUUGACAAUUGCAAAAUCAACCCUCUCCAUGACGUGCCAGGAAGUUAAAUGAUGCAGUUUUACGACUAAGCCUUAAAUUAGCCAUACCUUCUUACUCGAGUGUUGGAUUUGGGCAAAUCUUAUAUCGAUGGAAAGCGUAUUAGCUUUCCCAAGUGACAAAAAGUAGAAAUUAGGGAAAUUCUAUAUUGGUAACACGUUACUCACUUAGGAAGCAACUUCUCAAUCUUUUAGGGCCGAAAUCACGCGUCACUCGACAUGACCUAUGGAUCAAACUACAAGGGAACUUUGUAGGGCCUUACAAUAUCUCCCCUUUGGGAACAUUCGUCUUCAAAUGUCACUAGUUAGUCUCGAAAUACAGGAAAAACUGAGUACACACAGCCGAAAGAAUUACUAAAAGGUUCAAGAUCUUCCUAAACUCAUGACCACUCCGAUUAUUGCAAGAAUUCAUACAAAGAUAGAUGCAUAGCUGAACUUUAGAUUAGAAAAGCUGAAUCAAAGAAGAAUAGUACCUUUGGAUUGAUAUAAACUUGCGGAAAAGGGGUAUGGGUAUUUGGCUCAUACGUCUGCUUCUGCCUCCCAAGUAUCACACUCAACAGAUUGGUUCAGCCACAAAACUUUGACCAAGGGAACUUCUUUGUUCCUUAGUUUACGGAUCUGAAAAUCUAGGAUCUCCACGAGAAUCUCAUCGAAGGAAAGGCUAUCCUGAAUAUCAACACUCUCUGAAGGAUCAACCACAACGAAAUUACUAAUAUGCUUCUUAAGCAUGGAGACAUGAAAGAUAGGAUGACCGGCGGACAACUCCGAGGGAAACUUAACCUCAUAAGCCACUUUACCAACACGGCUCAAGACUCUAUAGGGCCAACAUAACGGGGACUAAGCUUUCCCUUCCUACCAAACCUUUUCACCCCUUUCAUGGGUAAAAUCUUCAAGUACACCAAGUCACCUACCUUAAACUCAAGAUCUCUCCUUCUUACAUCUGCGUAAGACCUUUGACGACUCUGAGCGGUCUUCAACCUUUCUCUAAUCAACUUAACUUUCUCCAUAGAUUUGAACAAUGCAUCAAGCCCACACGCGGCAGCUUCGCCCACUUCAAACCAACCUAUGGGUGAUCUACACCUCCUACCAUACAAAGCCUCAAAUGGUGCCAUCUCAAUGCUAGUAUGGAAACUAUUGUUAUAGGCUAACUCAAUCAAUGGAAAAUGCUCAUCCCAACUACCUUUAAAUCAAGAGCAUUUGCCCUCAACAUAUCCUCUAGGGUUUGAAUGGUCCUCUCAGCCUGACCAUCUAUCUAUGGGUGAAAAGCUGAACUCAAAAGAACUUGGGUGCCAAGACCCUGCUGAAACGCCCUCCAAAAUUGAGAAGUAAAUUUAGUACCCCUAUCUGAAAUGAUAGAAAAGGGAAAUCCAUGUAGUCUGACAAACUCCUGAACAUACAAUCUAGCAUAAUCCUUAGCCGUAUAAGAUGUAUGCACGGGCAAAAAAUGUGUGGACUUAGUCAACUUAUCCAUAACAACCCAAAUAGAAUCAUGAUGACGACGCGAUAGAGGCAACCCGGUCACGAAGUCCAUAUUCACUAUCUCCCACUUCCAAGUGGGUAUACUAAACUCUUGCAUCACACCACCCGAUAUUUGGUACUCUACCUUAACCUGUUGACAUGUCGCACUCUUUGCUACAAACUCGGAGAUGUCCUUCUUCAUGAUAUUCCACCAAUAGAUUUCUCGCAAGUCGCGAUAUAUCUUGGUAAUACCGAGAUGAAUGGAAUAACGUGCACCAUGUGUGUCACCCAUAAUCCUCCACCUUAAAUCAUCAACACACGGAACACACAACCUACCAUGCACCCUCAACACACCAUCUUCCCCUUGGGAGAAAACCUCGACCUUUUGGUACUUAACUGACCCCUUCAGUUUGACCAAACUAGGAUCCCUAUACUGCUUCUCCUUCACUUCCAAAACUAAAGAAGAUUUGGAACUAGUCUGCACCAAUGUACUUCCCUCCGCUGAAUCAAGCAAUCUAAUACCCAACCUAGCCAGACAAUGAACAUAAUGAGCUAACUCUCUCUUACCUUUCUCAAUAUGCGCAACUCUACCCAUGGAUAAUCUGCUAAGGGCAUCUGUAAUGACAUUGGCCUUGCCCGAGUGAUACAACACACUUAUAUCAUAAUCUUUCAACAACUCUAACCACCUCCUCUACCUAAGAUUCAACUCCUUCUGGGUAAAUAUGUACUGGAGGCUUUUAUGAUCAGUAAACACAUCAACAUGGACACCAUAAAGAUAGUGUCUCCAAAUUUUCAAAGCAAAAACCACAACAGCUAACUCAAAAUCAUAGGCUGGGUAGUUCUUUUUAUACGGCUUCAACUUUCUAGAGGCAUAGGCUAUAUCCUUACCCAUUUCCAUCAACACACAACCCAAACCAACUCUAGAGGAAUGACAAUACACCAUAAAACCAUCAGUACCAUCAUGAAAAGUUAACAUAAGGGCUGAAGUGAGUCGAGUCCUCAACUCCUCGUAACUCUUCUCACAGGAAUCAGACCACUGGAAUUUAACCUUCUUUUGUGUCAAUCGGGUCAUAAGAGACUCAGUGAAAGAAAAACCCUUAACAAAAUGAUGUUAAUAGCCUGCUAGACCCAAGAAACUCCUAAUGUCAGAUGGACAGAUCAGUCUAGGCCAGUUUCUCACAGCUUUUGUCUUUUGGGGAUCAACUCUAAUACCCUCGGCUAAAAUAACAUGACGCAUGAAGGCUACAGACCUUAGUCAAAAUUCACACUUAUUGAAUUUGGCAAACAAUAGGUGAUCUCUAAGAGCUUGGAAGACAAUUCAAUGAUGAGUUGCAUGGUCAUUCUCAUCACGGGAGUACACAAGGAUAUUAUUUAUGAAGACAAUAACGAACAUAUCAAGGUAUUGCUUGAACACUCGAUUCAUGAGGUACAUGAAGGUUGUUGGGGAAUUUGUUAGCCCAAAAGACAUGACUAAAAAAUCAAAGUGACCAUAACGGGUUUGAAAGGUUGUCUUUGGAAUAUCACAUUCCCUCACUUUAAGUUGAUGAUAGCUGGAUCUAAGGUCUAUCUUGGAAAAAUAACUUGCAUCUUGCAACUGAUCAAAUAGGUUAUCAAUUCUCAAAAGAGGAUACAUAUUUUUGACUGUGGCCUUGUUCAGUUAAUGGUAGUCAAUGUACAUACGCAAAGAUCUAUCUUUCUUCUAAACGAACAAAACAGGUGCACCCCAAGGAGAAAUACUGGGUCUAAUGAAACCUUUGUCUAAGAUAUCUUUGAGUUUCUCCUUUAACUCCUUAAGCUUGAAAGGUACCAUACGAUAUAGAAGAAUGAAAAUAGGCUGAGUAUUGGGAAGAAGGUCAAUUCCAAACUCUAUCUCUCUAUCGAGAAGUACCCUUAGGAGAUCUUCCAGAAAGACAUCGAGGAACUCAUUCACAAUAUCAACCGACUGGAUGGUUGGAGUCUCAGACUUAGUGUCCUUGACCCUAACAAGGUGGUAGAUACAACCUUUGGAUAUAAGCUUUCUGGCUUUGAUAGAGGAGAUAAAAUAACUCUUGGGAGAUACCAAACUCCCAGACCACUCAAUCACUGGUUUAUUAUGAAACUAAAACUUGACCAUACAGAAAAGACAAUCUAUAGAUGCAUAACAAGAAUGAAGCCAAUACAUACCCAAAAUAAGGUUAAAAUCUAUCAUGUCUAACUUUAUCAAAUUUGCAGAUAUAACUCUAUGAAGCACAGUAACGGGGCAAUUUCUAUGCACUUGUUUUGCAACAACUGACUCUCCGACUGAUAUAGAAACUAGGAAAGGCUCAGAAAUCUUUUCAAGACUCAUUUUGAAAUUCACACCCACAAGUGGGGUCAUAUAAGAGAGAUUCAACUUUGGGUCCAACAACACAUAAACAUUACAACAAAAGACAUAGAGCAUACUAGUAACAACAUCAGGAGAGUCUUCCUACUCCCGAUAUGGUGCCAAAGGAUAGAACUAUUCUAUCACUAACCGCCAGCAGUGCUAGAAGAAGUGCCCUGAGCAGAGGCGGGAUGGAGUACCGAAGUUGGUGUACUAGCAGCCUGUGCCUGAGGUCCGGCAUCUCUAUUCCCCUUUCUAGCAUGGGGACAAUCUCUAAGUCUGUGGCUCUGCUUUCUACAACCAAAACAACCCCUCACAUCUCCAAAACACUCCCCAAGGUAAUUUCUACCAUAUUUAGCACAAGAAGGAUAAUAAGUCAUGUUACCAACACUGUUCUGCGGUCCAAACAUGAAAGACCUGAUCCCUUGCUCCGGCCUACUUCUAGGCAUAUGAGCACUAGCUGAAGAAGGAACUAGAAUAUAUGGACAUCUUUAAAACUGGGGGCAGUUCCCUCCAUGGAACCUUGGCUGACUAAACUCAUGCUGAUCAGAUCUCGGCCUCUUGAUACCCCUUAUUUUAUCUCUUUCUCUAAUCUUAUCUACAUCGAUCUAUUGGGCAUGCAUCAUCAACCUAGCCAGAUCCAUAUCCUUAUGCAACAUCAUAGCCAUACACUCCUUCAGUACCAUCCCCAAAACACCGGUCAUAAACUUACUCAUACUAGCCCAGGUGUCAAAAAUCAAAUCAGGAGCGUACUUGGCCAAUUGAUUGAACUUGAAAUAGUACUCCUCAAUAUUCAUAGAGCCCUAUCUCAAGUUCAUAAACUCAUUAAUAUUUGCCUUCCUCAUCUCAAGUUGAAAUAAUUGAUCCAAGAAGGCAUCUUGGAAAACUUACCAAGUCAUAGGAGCGGCAUUCUCAUCUCUACCCUUCCUCCAUGACACAACCGAAUUAUAAGAAAUGUCCUUCAGUUUGUAGGAUGCCAACUCAACACUUUCUUCUUCUGAAACAUGCAUCACGUCUGUGAUCUUCCAUAACUCCUCCAUGUACAACUGUGGGUACUCAUCUAUCUUUGACCCAUAGAACUCAAGCAGGUUAAUCUACAUAGAGUCAUAAAUCCUAGAUGUGGCUACAUCACCACCCUACUGGUUAGCAACUGGGGAUUGGUUAUUGUCUUAAAUAUUUGCGGUGAUCUCUUGGGCUAAUGCCUGAAAGACCACCUGAAACUCAGCAUGGGACACCAUCUCAUUCAAAAGAUCAACAGAUGGGGGUUGUUAAUCAUUGUUUCAGCAAAUAUUUACUCUUCGAAGAGGCAUUUUCUAAAAAUAGAAGAGCAUGGGUCAUUAGAUAAGAGGGACAACUGUAGGCACGAUAGAAUAUGAAAGAAGAAAAUUUUUUUCCUAAAAUAUCUCAUAGCCUCUUCCUCAUAGUUGUGGUAUGCUACACACCGAUGAUCAAGAUUCUACUCAACGCCACUUAUCAGACUCCCUAGGACUCCUUAGAAACCUUAGGCUCUGAUACCAAGUUUGUAACAACCUGAUAUCAUCUCUCAAUAUGUCACAUGGUACCUAAGGCUACAAGUAUCCCCAAGCUAACCCUUAGAGCUGGUUUCCACCAAUGACACUCAAUUCAAGAUAAGAAUGGACUCAACACUAAUGUAGUCAUAUCAUAUAUAAGGAAAUAUAGAAAAUAUACUUGUCUAUAAGACCACAAUAUAGAGAAAUCUCAACAAAACCAUAAUAUUGAAUCCUCGACACAUCACAAGUCUGACACUAGUCUAACAAACCUCUACAAAUCAAAAUCUAGAGAGCCAUUAGGACAGGUCCCCAACUGAGUUGAAAUAAACUGAAGAUAAAACAUAGUCUUUCAAGUACGAUAAAUAUCUGAGGAUCUUUCCUUGAAUCAUGAGGACUUACCACUAUAGAAAAUAUAGGCAAGGUACUAAAAGAAUCAUGGGCGAGGCUGGGACUGAGCAGCUGAACCUACAUUAUGACACAAUAUAGCAUAUAGACAUUUAUGUGGAUCAGUACUUGGAAGGUACUGAGUAUGUGGGGGUGAAUGCAUAUGAAUAAAAUAGUAACAAUCUUCUUUAAUCAAAUCAUGUAUGCAUUAUGAGAUGACUUACAUAGAUUGAACAAGUAUAAAUUAUAAAGCUUGUAAGUUAUGUAGAAUGGAGCAUGUAAUACAAAUCUCGUGAGUCAUCGUUGUUUAAUCUCAAAAUUCAAAAUCUUCUCUCUUUCUCAAUACCCAAAGGCUAAGGGACUUUAAACAAUACUUUCAGCUCAUGCAUAAGUCUCAUGGAGAGUAAAACUUCUUGAAUUCUCAACAUUUCAUAACAAUUUGGAACUCAUACACUUGGAAUUCGACAUCAUAUAACUUGAAGACAUUUCAUUCACUUUAGGAAAAUAUCUCAUCUUAAGCUUUAGGAAAAUCACUCCAUCUCAAAUGGAAAGGCAUUCUAGUUUAUGGAAACAACUUAUCUCAAGGCUUUAAAAAAGUACUAUAACAAGGGAGGAUGCUUUCAUUUAGGAAAUAACUCACAUCAAGAAAAUACUUUAGUUGGGGAAACAUCUUUGCAAUUCAACCAUUUAGUAAAAUAGCUUAUAGGGAAGGAAAAUAAGUAUUUGGUCUUGAAGUCUAAAUGUCAAGGAAGGUUCUCGUAACCGACAUAAACCAUACGAGCUACAUGGAUUCCAACAUUUUAUCCUCCUAAGGAAGAGAUCCCACGUUGAGGAGGAGCGCCAUACUCUUGAUAGGGAGUAUAACCUAGGUGUAGUGAUCACUAAAUAAAAAUUAGCCUCGGGUUCAAUCAUAAUCAUCAUAAACUUGGCCUCAGGUCCAACCUACGGUAGCACGUAGUUUUGGGGUAAGAAACCAUAGUAACUUACCUACUCGAUGCUAAAUACUACUCCUUUUAUAUUAUCUGCGCUCAUCUCAUAAAAAAAUCUACUUUUAGAAUAAUCACAUAACUCACCACAAACCCAAUAAUCAAAUCGAUAAUGUCAUAUAGUGAAGUGGAUUUCAAAUAUCAAAGACUAUUAGGUCAAUUCAUUUCUCAAUCAUCUCAAUAUACUCAAAACAUGGGUGCUUAUAGCACAAGAGUUCAUAAUUUCACAAGUCUCAAAUAGGGCUUACUAACCCAUUAUUCAAUAUCAAGUUAAAGCCUACCAAAAGCAUAAUAUAUAGCAUAUAGAUUCAUAAAUCAUGUGGAAAUCUAGGAAUUUCAGCAAGUUACCUCAAAAUGUCAAUAUAACCAUAUGCUUCAAUAUCUCAAUAAUGCAAAUAUUAGCUUAUCAAGGAGCAAAAUUAUGGGGUGUAUACCCAGCUGUAAAUACUCAUGAAAACAUGUAGAAAUCAUACCAUUUGACUCUUAAUUCCUUGGAAAUAUCAGUAUAAUACAUUCAAUAAUAAUUGGUGAAAAAACCAAUUCAAAUUCAUGUAAAAAACCUCAUAUAUUUUAAGAAUUUCAUGAUAUAAAUAACCUUUUGGGCACAAGGGUGAAAGGGUUACCCUUGUUCAAAAACCCCACAUACCUUGAAUUAGAAGCUUUUGAUGAACUCUCAUUUUUGGAACACUAUUUGUGCACUAGAAUGAGGGUUAUUAAGGUCCUUGACUUGGGAACCUUCAAUCUUGACUCAAUUUCGGAAAUCAUGGUGGAUUCUUGAGGUUCUUGGAAGAGGUUUUUGAUACUUAGGGUUUAUAUUGAGAGAAAAUUUAAGAAAACCUCAUAAGAUGCUUGUAACUGGCUUUACUUUAGUGUUUCCACAAUUUUAUAGGCUUUGAAAAGGUCCAAAGUUCCCUUUUAAACAUUUGUACAAAACUUGAAAAACUAAACUGGAACCCAAUUUCAUUGGCCUCCAUAACGCGCCACAUAUCGCGGUGGCUCACUGGAAUUUGACAAUUGGGAAGUUGGCAGCCUCUGCAAUGCGGAGCCAUCAUGUUUUCCCACUAGUUGGGACCUGGGACUCCUCGGUAAUAUGCUCCUAUCAUGGGGUUCCACUGGAAAGUGACAAUUGUAAAAUCAACCCUCUCCGUGAUGCGCCAUGCAGUUAAAUGAUGUAGUUUUAUGACUAAGGCUUAAAUUAGCCAUAACUUCUUACCCGAGUGUUGGAUUUGGGAAAAUCUUAUAUCGAUGGAAAGCGUAUCAGAUUUCCCACGUGAAAAAAGUAGAAAUUAGGAAAAUUACUUAUGGUUAACACGUUACUCACUUAGGAAGCAACUUCUCAAUCUUUUAGGGCCAGAAUCACACCUCACUCAACAUGUACUAUGGAUCAAACUAUGAGGGAACUUUGCAAGGCCUUAUAGAAAUACCCUAUUUUCUAUACCUUAAAAAAUUUCCUAUAAUUAUAGUCUCUUAACCCAAUACGACUCAUGGGUACAAGCCGUAUGUUAAGGUAUGAAUGAUAUGGUCCAGUCAUAUACUGACCAGUGUUGGUUAGUGGGAUGGAUUUUGGUCAAUGGAAUGGGUACGACUUGGUGGUACGAGUCGUAUGGUUAGAUACAGAUUAUUUGUUAACCUUAAACUUGGUAACUUCAGUUGAAUCUGAGUAUGAGUUGCUCAUGAGAAGUCAUAAUCCAGGGUACGAGUUAAACUAGAGACUCGUAUGGUGGAUAGUGCUCAAACCUUCUGUGAUUCUAUCUUACCAAAGGUAUGGGUAAAGGGCACGGAUCAUAUGUUGUCAAUACAACUUGGGUAGGAUGGGUCUUACACUUUAUAGUGUUAGUUCCAAGGGUUGAGGAUUAGGAUACGAGUGGUUGGUACCACUCAUAUCAAAGGGUAUGACUUGUGAGUGUAAGUCGUACCCCUAUGUUGGGAUUUUUUUGCAACUUAAAUAGGGGUAUUCUGGACAUUCCCCACUCAGCCUAAGAAGUCCCUACAACUUCUAACUCUCUUGGGAGUCUAUUUACCCUAUUAUUUUAUUCAUUAACUCUUAAAAGCUCUUCCUAAAUACUCUAUAAUUCUCUCAAGAGCUUUUAGGGAAGAAAGUUAGGGUUUCAACAAGAGGACUAAAUUAGGGACAAUGUUGGUGGUUUCUCUUUUUCCACUUUGUAAAUUAAGGCAUGUUCUCUUUCCUCAUUAUUAGUUCUAAUUAAAGGUAUGGUUUUAUACAAUGUUUAUAUGAUUUGAUUAUUGUAUGAUUUUUGGUUUGAAAAUAUGAUUUGUUAUAAAUGCUUGGUUAUGGUUUUCCCAUGUUUUAGUUAAUGGUGGUUUUGGAUAAUUUUUUGUAUGGGAAUAGUUCUUUGGUAAUGAACUUUGUUUUGAAAAUACUAUGCCUCCAAUGUGUUUGAUAAAAAUGCCUUUAACAAUGUUUCCACUAUAAUAUUAGUUUUUCAAUGGAACUUAUGCAUGGUUUAAACUUUAUAUUGGAACCCUAAAUGAUAUUAAUGGUUUAAUUGGUUUUAAAUGGAUUGGAAAAUCCUUAGUGUCCAUGGUUUUAGUUAAUUGGAAAUCAUGAAGGGUACAUGGAAUCCCUUAAACCAAUAUAUGUUUGGCUAUGGACAAAACUUACAAGUAUAGUCGGUAUGACGAUACCACUACUAAUGGCCUUAAUUAAUAAAUGGUUAAUGGAUUGGUUGGUUACUUGGUAAUGGUUUUAAUUGGCCAAUAAUGGCGAGGUGUAUAGCAAAGCUGUGGAAGGUAGAGGUCCCGGGGGACCAAAAUUGGAAACUCAUAUUUGUCGAUAUGCGGUUUAAUCUAAGUGAUUGUGUGCAUGAUGUCACACUUUAUAUUUGGGAGAUGUACUAGUCAUCCUAGGUUUUCUUCCCUGGUUGUGCGGGUUUACGCACUGGGGCUCUUCAGCAGGGCGAGCUAAACCAAUAUAGAUCGUAGGUGGUUUAGGACAGCAAAUCUACACAGCCUAGGUAAAGUUUUUAAUGGCAUGCUAAACUCGGUUCCCUUUUCUGGCAUGGAUAUAUAUAUAUGGUUUGUGUGCAUAUGGUUGAUUUUACUUGGUCUUAUAAAUGGUAUUAUUUUAUCCUUAGCCUGAGUUUGUGCUUGCAUUCACCUGCUAACCCAUCUUCGAGUGGAAAAAUACCCAUGAUAUAUAGAAACUAACCUUUCUACUCCUCCUACAUCAUGAUUGACUCGAGGAAAGAUUUUGGACUAAAGUGGUGAGCUUCCGUCUUUAUAGAAGGCUCCAUUUCAUGUUAUGGAUAUUCUUAGAAAUUUUAAUUUAUGUUUAGAUAAUGGUUUUUUCUAUGGUUGUGGAAAUGUCCCAACCAGAUAUUCUUACACUUUUGGUUAGAGGUUUUAUGGUACUGCUAUGGGUUAGAAUGAGCGGGAUCAGAAUUGGUGUCAGCCUUAAUAUUAGUAUUCGUAUUAGGGCUGAUACCAGUUGACUUUAUUAUUGGUUGUUCCAGCCUCUUUUAUUUUGGGAUUAAUCAUAUUAUGUUAUGGAUAUUAUUUAGUUAUGGCCUGGUCUAUGGCCCUUGGUUUGGUAUUGGUUUUGUUAGUAUGGUUUGGUAGACGAGAUGACGUGGUACGGUUGGUCUAGUAAUAGACCUAUCCCAAAGUCAGUCCUUGUCUAAUUUUGCUAUCUUGUUAUACAUUUAGAAUUCAGUCAACUAAAGAUAUACUAAUGGUGGUUUGGUUGGGUUACAAGGGGUGGUCCCUAGUCCUGGUUGGACUUUUGAAGCCCAUUAUAACAAGGCCCUCGAACGGAUUGUAUCAAGUUGGUAUCAAAGCUUUAAGUUCAUAGUAGUUGAGAGACCACAAAGUCAUAUCAAGUAGAGUAUCUUUUAUGGGUGUGUAGUGGCCAAACUCAUAACAGAGAGGCUACAGGGCAUUUAGGAAUGUUUUACUUUCUUGGUAUUCUAUUUACAAGCUUGGAGUCUAAGUCCUAGAAUUCUUGUCUAAUCCUUGGUUGUUCACUUCUCAGAUUAUGCCUCAAUGAUUUGGAACACAGAAAAACUCUUCAGUCCCAUCUGGGGAUAAUGUUGAUAGGGUACAUACUAUGUCUAGAGUUUUUUCUUUGAUAUUAGGGUCCUAUCCCUAAUAGUUCUAGAGUUUCUCAAGUUGCUACUAGUCCUUCUCAAAGUGAGGUCACUAAUGUGGAAUUUUGUCAGACUAUUCAUACUAUUUCUAAAUUUGUUGCUGCUCAAGCUGAGCAGGAUGCAUUUGGUGGGUUAUCUUCUGAGGCCAUAAGGUUUGGUUAGUUUAUAAAACUGAAUCCUUCUACUUUUACUAGUUUAAAGGUGGAGAAGGAUCCUUAGGUUUUAUUGGAUGAGAUAGAGAAGAUAUUUAGGGUGAUGCAAGCUACUAAUAUGAAGGGUGUAAACUUUUCAGCUUACCAUCUCAAGGAUGUUACUUUCUAAUAGUAUGAAGAGUGGAAAAGAGAUAGAGGUGAUGUGAAGGAGAUGUCCUAAUGAGAUGCCUUCUCUGGUGCUUUUCUAGGUCGUUUCUUUCCUCAAGAGCUGGAGGAAGCAAAAAUAGAUGAGUUUAUGAAUCUUAUGCAAUGGGGAAUAUCUGUCAAGUAAUAUGCUUUGAAGUUAUAUCAGCUGUCAAGGUAUGCUCUUGAUUUAGUGGCUGACAUAAGAGCGAGAAUAAGAAAGUUUGCUUCUAGGUUGAAUCCGAAUUUGAUCUACGAAAGCAAGACUACCUUACUGAUUAAAUAUAUGGAUAUUUCUAGGUUGACUAUUCAUAUACAGUAGGUAAAUGGUGAGAAGAGAAAACAGGCUGAGUUUGAAGAUAGGUAGGGUAAGAAGAGCAGGUUUUCUGAUCAGGGAGGUGCUUAGUCUCAAGGUAGUUGGGAUGGCGGCAAAUGGAAAAAAAAUGGAGUUCUGUAUCCUUCUCUACUGCUAGUUCUUCUUACCCAAAGUAGUCGAAUGACUGGCAUUAUUAGAGUAAUGAUAAUUUUAGCGCACUGAGUGCCCAAUCUCAGGUGAGUAGGGGUCAGUUGAUUUCUUUAUACCCACCUUGUCGGUUUUGUGGCCAUCUUUAUUGCUAUUAUUGCUAUAAAUGAAGGGAAAAUACUUCAAGUGUGGCCAAGCAGGCCAUCAAAUCAGGGAUUUUCUGAUUAAUAAUAUUUCUACAAGAGCAAAUAAGGUAUCGGUGGGUUCAUCUUCUGCUCCUACACUCGGUGGUGCUGCAUUUACUUCUGUAGCUACUCCUGGUUCUAGUGUUGUCCAAAAUAAGUUGUAUGCUUUGGCAUCUCGAUAGAAAUCAGAGGCAUUGCCUGAUGUCAUUACUGGUAUAUUAUAACUCUUUUCUCCUAACGUGUAUUAUCUGCUUGAUCUAGGGUCCACUCUUUCUCAUGUGACCCCAUUUGUGGCUGUAUGCAUUGGUUUUGAUCCUGAGGUUGUUUAGGAUCCUUUUUUAUUUUACUCCAAUUCUAACUUUUCUGGAAGGCAAUGAUGGGUUUAUGGUCUAUUGUGAAGCAUCUUAGGUAGAUCUUAGUUUUGUUUUACUACAGCAUGAAAAGGUGAUUGCCUAUGCUUCCAGGCAAUUAAAGGUACAUGAAAGGAACUAUCUUACUCAUGAUUUAGAGCUUUUGGUGAUAGUAUUUACUUUGAAAAUAUAGCUAUACUAUUUGUAUGGUGUAUAUAUGGAUAUCUUUUCUUAUAAUAAGAUCUGCAGUAUAUGUUCACUCAGAAGGAUCUCAAUCUCAUGAAGAGAAAAUGGCUUACGAUUCUCAAGGACUAUGAUAUGAGUCUUCACUCUCACCCAGGUAAGGCUAACGUGGUUUCUAAUGCUCUUAGCAGGUUGUCCAUGAGGAGUUUGGCUCAUGUGGAGAAAGAAAAGCAGGGUUGGUGAAGAUAUUCACCACUUAGCUAAUCUUGGAGUUUUUCUCUUGGACUCCAAGGAUGGAGGUGUAAUGGUACAAGAAGUGGUUCGAUCGUCUCUUCGUGUAGAGAUUAAGAAGAAGUAGGUGCUGGAUCCUGUCUUGAUUAAAAUCAAGGGUGAUAUUUGUAGGCAAAAGGUGAUGGUGUUUAAGAUCAGUGGUGAUGGUACUUUUUUGUAUCAAGGAAGGUUGUGUAUUCCUAAUAUUGACAGUUUGUGAUAAAAGAUUUUGGCUGAGGUGUAUGAGCCAUGCUAUGUUGUUCAUCCCAGUUCCACGAAGAUGUAUCAUGAUCUCUAGGAGAUGUACUGGUGGAAUAGUAUGAAGAGAGAUAUGGCUGAUUUUGUAGCCAAGUUUUUGGUGUGUCAAAAAGUUAAAGUUGAGCACAUAAGGCCUGGUGGGUUAUAUAAAGAUAUUGUAUUGCCUGAAUGAAAAUAGGAGGUAAUCAAUAUGGAAUUCAUUACCGGUCUUUCUCUGUCUUGGAAUCAAUAUGAUUCGAUUUAGGUCAUACUAGAUAGGCUGACAAAGUUUUCUCUUUUCUUUCUAGUGAGGACUACCUUCUCGAUGGAGGAUUAUAUGAAGUUAUAUCUUCAGGAGAUUGUGAAGAUGCAUGGGGUAACUAUUUUUAUUAUUUCUGAUCAAGGAACACAAUUUAUGUCUCACUUCUGGCGGUCUUUCAACAAAGGGUUGGGGAAUAAGGUUAGUAUGAGUACUACUUUUCACCCACAGAUAGAUGGACAAGUAGAGACAAUUAUUCUGAUGUUGGAGGAUAUGCUUCGGGCUUGUGUGAUUAAUUAUGGUGGCAAUUAGGUUGGGCAUCUACCUUUGGUAGCAUUUCCUUUACAACAAUAACUAUCAUUGUAGUAUUGGUGUGGCUUCUUUUUAUGCAUUGUAUGGUAGGAGGUAUAGAUCUCCUAUUGGUUGGUUUGAGCUUAGUAAGGUGGAUAUGUUUGUUCCUGACUUGGUUUACUAGGCUAUGGAGAAGGUGAAGGUGAUUUGGGAUAGGCUUAAGGCAUCCCAAAGUUGUCAAAAGUCCUAUGCAGAUAUUAGGAGAGGAGAUUUGGAGUUUGAGGUUAAAGAUAAGGUUUUCCUCAAGGUAUCUCCCAUGAAGGUAGUAGUAAGGUUUGUUAAGAAGGGAAAGUCUAGUCCCUGGUAUGUUAGUCCUUAUGACAUUCUGCAGAGGGUUGGUAAUAUUGCUUAUGAGUUAGAGUUACCUUCUAGAUUGAUCAAGGUUCAUCUGGUAUUUAUUGUCUCUAUGUUGAGAAAAUAUGUAGGUGAUCCUUCUUCGAUUGUUCAUUUUGAGGGGUUGGGUAUCUCUGACUCUCUGUCUUAUGAAGGGAUCCUGGUUAAUAUCUUGGAUAGGCAGGUUUGUCGAUUUUAGACCAAAGAUAUGGCUUCGAUUAAGGUUCUAUAGUGAAACCAUAAGGUGGAAGAAGCUACAUGGUAAGUGUAGGAGGACAUGAAGUCCAAGUAUCCACAUUUAUUUUUUGCUCGUAGGAUUCGUGCGAAAGGUUUGUGACUUCAACACAUCUUUAUUUUUUGAAUUUUUUAAUGGAAAGGUUAAUAUCUUUGCGUCUAUGUUUUCAAACUUUGUUAAAGAUUGGAAAUAUAUUUGAUAAUGUAAAUAAAUCGUGCGUGUCGUUACCUCUACCUUAUCCGUCAUUCUGGGAUAAAUAUUCCUAAUAGGGGAAACUGAAACACCCUGGUUUUUGUACCUUAGAAAAUUUCUUGGAAUUUAGUUUUCUGGACCCAAUACGAUUCAUGGGUACGAGCCAUAUGUUUGAGUACAAGUGGUAUGGUCCAGUCGUAUGCUGACCAGUGUUGGUUGGUGGGAUGGAUUCUGGUUACUAGAAUAGGUACGACUUGGUGGUACUAGUUGUAUGGUUUGAUACGGAUCAUUUGGUUCCUUCACUUAAUCUUAGACUUGGUAACUUAAGUUGAAUCUGAGUAGAAAUGGCUCACCAGGGGCCAUAAGUCAGCGUAUAAGUCAUACCAAGGAAUCGUAUGGUGGAUAGUGUUCAAACCUUCUGUGUUCUAUCUUGCUAAGGCUAUAGAUAAAGAGUAAGGAUCGUAUGUUGUCAAUACAACUUGGGAAGGAUGAGUUGUAGACUAUACAAUGUUGGGUCCAAGGGUAGAGGCGUAGGAUACAAGUGGUGGGUACCACUCAUAUCAAAGGAUAUGAUUUAUGAGACUCAGUCGUACCCAUGUUAUGGGAUUUUUGUGCAACUUAAGUGGGGGUAUUUUGGACAUUUCCCUACUUACCCCAAUAAGGCCCCACAACUUCUAAAUCUGUAAUACUCCGAAUUUUCUGUAAGUUGAGUUUCAUCCUUAAGGGGAGUAAGGGCUGACUUCCCAAGUGAGAAGUAUUUUAAACCAUGUAGAAUUUCCCUAAUAUCAACUUUUUGUCAUGUAUAGAAUUGAGUAAGAUUUCCGUCGAUACUAAAUUUGACCAAAUACGACAUUUGGGCGAAGAGUUAUAGCUAUUUUAGUGAGACAGUGUACCACCUGGUACUUAGGCGCGUUGCGGAGUCAGCCAAAAUGGCAAUUGUCAAAAUUCAGUGAGCCUCUGCGAUUCCACCGCGUCGCGGUGUAUUUCUAGUUCACAACCAAGGUGGCAAUGCAAUUUCCACCGCAUCGCGCCAUCAAGCAGUUUCCCAAUUGUUCAAUUUCCAGUAAGCUGGCGCGAUUAUGGCGCAUCGUGCCAACAUAAAAAAUCAGAAUUUUCAGAUUUCGUUAUUUAAUUUCAAGGGCAUCUUAGACUUUUCUCAUGACCCCUAUCAGCCCUAAACACGAUAUAAAAUGCCCAAUAAGCCCUUAUUCCGUUAUUUUCCUCACUAUUCUCUUAGGAAGAUUAUAUUUUCACUCAAAAGGGCAAGAACCCUAGCCAAGAAAUCAAGAACAAGACUAAGGAUUUUCUUCAAAGACCUUCAAGAAAGAGUCUUCUAGGGUAUGUUAGACGUUGAUUCUUGGGUUGUUUCCACCCAAGAAGCUCAAUAAUCCUUUUCAAAAUUUUGAGGUUUACGUAUUUAUGAGAUUUCAUUAUUUAUGUGUAUUAUAGUUCAUGAUUUUGUAUUGUUGGGUUGUAAUUCAUCAUUUAGACUACCAAUUUCAAGAGUUGAUUCUAGUAUGUGAUGAAUUCUAUGGUGUUCAUGAUAAACCCUCUUCACGUUGCAUGAUAUUGAUGUAUUCAUGAUAAUUAAGUAUAAAAUCUAUGGUAUGACCAAAGCAUUCCCCCUAUAUGUUUGAUAGAAUGCUUAAGUAAAGAUAAUAGUGCCUAUUUACUAUGUUAAGCAUGAAAUCCCCAAUUUUCUGAUAACUUUUGCAUGCCAAGUGUUUGUUGAAAUGCCUUAAUGAAUGUAUUAUGAUAAGUUGCAUGCAUUCUUAUCCAUGUGUAUUACUUAUUGAACAACUAUGAGAUAUUAGUAUGCAUUCCCUAUAAAUUUACAUGUUUAUGACUUUCAAGUGAUUGACGAGAUAUCGUAUUGAUUGUGUUGUGAAUGAAAGUCCAUUGUCAUGAUAUUCAAGGGUGGUCCUGUCUUAUUUAUUUAUGUAUCGAGUAUUGGGGGUAUUUAUACACAAAAAUUUAGUUGCUUGUCUAGAGCUGAGUUAGUCUCAAGAUAAUUUCAGUCAUGCUAUGAUAAGUAGAAUUCACUUAGUACAAACAUAAGAAAAUUCAGUAAUCUUAGUACUAGUUCAGUCCAAUCUCAGUAUCAGUUUAACCCAGUUCUGUAUUCAGUUCGGACCGCAGUAGUAUUCAGUAUUCAGUUUAGAUUUCAGUAAAUCUCAGUAAGUUACAUAACUCAGUAGCAUUCUGAUAUAAAAUAAAAUUCAGAAGUAUUCCAUCAGAUAAUGAAAUCAAGUAAACUCAGUCAAAUCAAUCAAGUAAGACGAUCAGUAAUAGAUUCAGCUCGUUCUAGUACAGUCUAAGAAUCAGUUUAGUGUCUUUCAGUUGGGAGUAGGAAAUAGCACUAAGCGAGUGCAGGGAUGAUGCAUUCCCCGUUAGAGAGGUAGAGUCAUUAGUAAUAGUCCCUGAAUUCCAGAACUGCGUACCCACCGCAGGACCAGGAGUCACCCAUUAGAUUAAGGCUUGACUAUCAUAUUGCCUUAGGCUUGACUUCCUAUUCAGGGUCACCCAUUAGAAAGGGUUGACCAUAGCAUAGAUCUUUACCCAUUGCACGGUAUUGACACCCUUCCAGUAGGGUUUACAAGUUGGACCUCACUAGAUCAGAUUUAGGGUAUGUCGGUUAAGUGAGAACUCCUAUAGUUGUAGUUUCAGUAUCAGUCUUCAGAGUAGAACUCAGAAAUCAGGACUGUCAGAUACAGUCACCUAUCUCAGUAAGGAACAUAGAUAGUUCCAUAGAUUCUUGGACCACCCACUAGAUAGGCCUGGUCUUACAUAAAAUUAAUCAGUAUCAUUACUAAUAAAGCUAGUGAUCACCCAUUAGAUAGGCGUGAUCUCAUACUCAGUCCAUCAUUUUUAUUAUUAAAAGAUUCAGAGAUCUUCCGCUAGAUAGGUCUGAUCUCAGAUACAAUCAUUCUUUAUCAUUAUUAGUAGAUUCAGAGAUCAUCCAUUAGAAAGGUUUGAUCACAGAUUCAGUCAGUCGAUAGUAGCGAACUCAGAACUCAGUCAUUGAUAUGAGCAUAUUCAGUUAAUCAGCUUCAGUAUCAUCAGUUUUAGAGAUCAACUGAUCCCAACUUUAGUACUCAGUUAUCAAUAUCAAAAAAUUCAGUUAUUCAGUAUCUUAGUAUUAAUAGUGAGUUUAGAUGUCAGUAAAGCAGUAUUCGAGUAUCAGUAUUCAGAGUCACGAUGAUUUCAGUUAUGGUUUAUGCGUUCAUGCAUAAGUCAUUAGUCAGUACUCUCAUGUUAUUCAGUUAAGUUAUGUUCCUGGAUAAGCCCUUGCAUUAAGCAUUACCUCAUCUAGCAUACCAGUACAUUCAAAGUACUGAUACAUACUUUUCUCUUGCACUAUGGUGUCUUAUACCAUAGGUUCAUAAGCGCGAGAUCCAGAGCACCCUUAGCAGUCCAGACUUAGUCAGAAGCAGUAGAUAUAGCAGUGAUUCCUCUUCAUUUGAGGAUGAUCCUUAUUUUAUUAUGGAAUUAGACUCAGUUUAUUUUCAGUAGACGAAGUUAAUUGGGGACAUGUCCCAUCAAAUCCACAGUUCAGACAGUUAGAGGCUUGUCAGAUAGAUGUAUUAGUAUUCAGUUUUUAGUUUUGAGUAUUUUAGAUGUUUUGAACCUUAUGGCAAGUUUUUGCUAGUUUUUCCGUAUCUAUUAUAUUAUAUUAUGCAGUGCUCAGGUAUAGAUAUCAGUAGAGGGUUAGCUUGUGGUCUUUCGAGAUUAUGAUUUCGAUUUCAAAAAAUUAGGGCAUUACAAAAUCUCUUGGUAAUCUACUUACCCUAGUAUUCUAUUCAUUAACACUUAGAAACUCUUCCUAAACACUCUAUAAUUCUCUCAAGAGCUUUUGGGCAAGGAAGCUAGGGUUUCAACUAGAGGACUAAAUUGGGGAUAUUGUUGGUGGCUUCUCUCAAUCUACUUUGUAAAUUAAGGCAGGUUCUCUUCCUUUAUAGUUAGUUCCAAUUAAAGACAUAGUUUUAUACAAUUUUUUUAUGAUUUGAAUAUUGUAUGAUUUUGGGUUCUCAAAAAUAAUUUGGGGGUUUUGGUUAUAAAUUCUUAGUUAUGGGUUUUCGAUGUUUUAACUAUGUCUUAAUAUCAAUUAAUGGUUAUUUAGGAUAAUUAGUUGUAUAAGAAUAGUUCUUUGGUAAUGAACUUUGGUUUUGGAAAUACUAUGCCCCCAAUGUGUUUGAUAAAAUACCUUUAACAAUGUUUCUAUGAUAAUAUUGUUUUUCAAUGGAACUUAUGCAUGGUUUAAACUUGGUAAUGAACUAAAUGAUAUGAAUGGUUUUAAAUGGUUUUAAAUAGAUUGGAAAGGCCUUGUUGGUCAUGGUUUUGGUUAAUUGGAACUCAUGAAGGGUACAUGGAAUCCCUUAAAACUAUAUAUAGCUAGCUAUGGACAAAACUUACAAGUAUAGACGGUAUGACAAUACCACUACUAAUGGCCUUGUUAAUAAAUAAGUAAUGGAUUGGUUGUUUUCUUGGUAAUGGUUGUAAUUGGGAAAUAAUGGCGGGGUGUGUAGCAAAGCCAUGGAAGGUGGGGUCUUGAGAGGACCAAAAUUGGAAACUCAUAUUUGUCGAUGUGAGGUUUGGUCCAAGUUAUCGUGUACAUGAUGUCACACUUUAUGUUUAGGGAAUGUACUAGUCAUCCCAGGUUAUCUUCCCUGGUUGUGCGGCUUCUCACACUAGGGCCCUUUCAAUAGAGAGAGUUAAACCCAUAUAGCCCAUGGGUGGUUUAGGAUGGCAAAACUACACAUCCCAGGUAAAGGAUUUAAUGGGGUGCUAAACCCUAUUCCCUUUCCCAGUAUGGAUAUAUAUAUAUAUAUAUAUAUAUAUAUAUUAUGGUUUAUGUGCAUAUGGAUGGUUUUAACUUGGUUUUAUAAAUGGCAUUAUUUUGUCCUUAUCCUAAUUUCAUGCUAGCGUUCACUCGCUAACCCAUCAUGGAUUGAAAAAUUAUCCACGCUAUGUAGGAACCAACUGCUCUACUCCUCUUACAUAGUGAUUGACUCAGGAACAACUGUUGGACUGAAGUGGUUAGCUUUCAUCUUUCUAAAAGGCUCUAUUUCAUGUUAUGGAUAUUCUUAGACAUUUUGAUUUAUUUUUGGAUAAUGGUUUUGGCUACGGUUGGGGGCAUAUUCAAACUGGAUAUUCUCACUCUUUUGGUUAGAGGAUUUGUGGUACUGCUAUGGGUUGGAAUGGGCGGGAUCGGUAUUGGUGUUAACCUUAGCAUUGGUAUUGGUAGUAGGGUUUAUAAUGGUUUACGAUAUUGUGGGUUGUUUCACCCUCUUUUAUUUUGGGAUUAAUCAUAUCAUGUUUCGGAUUGUAUUUGGUCAUGUCCUGGUUUAUGGCCCUUGGUUCAAUAUUUCUUUGGCUUGGUGGUUUGGCUGGUACGGUUUGGUGGACGAGAUGACUAGGUAGAGUUGGUCUAGAAAUAGACCUAUCCCAAAUUCAGUCCUUGUCCAAUUAUGCUAUCUUGUUAUAUGUUCAAAAUUUAUAUGAUUAAAGAUAUGCUAAUGGCGAUUGAGUUGGGUAUUAGGGGUGGUCCCCGAUCCUGGUUAGACUUGGGUUGCCCAUUACGACAAGUCCCUUUAUCGGGUCAAGUCGAAAGACCUAUAAACUAACUGCUGGUUUGAUAUAGUUUAACUAUGUAUGUUUAAGCUCAAAUUGACACCCUAGUAUUGAUCUACGGAUGUUAGAGGUGACAUUAUUAGCGAGUAGGAUUUCCACUAGAUGAACUGGUCUUCCUAUCAUUUCUGCUGAAACAACCUCGUCAUGUUGAACCUGGAUUAGGAAGAAAAGAGAAACCUCACUUCUUAGCUAAUAUAAGCAUCAUUCAGAUUUAGGAUUGGGUCAACUAAAUCCUUAUUUGGUGGUAGAUUGUUGUAAGGAUAAGCCUAUACCUGGAAAAUCAAUAACUAAGACCAAGUAGUUAAUACUUGUACAAUAAAGUAGUAAAACUAUAACUAAAAAUUUGCCAAAUUCUUUGUCCCCUGCAACCGCACCAGAAACAUGUUGUGUACAAAUAUACAUGUAAGUGUAUGCGGUCAUACAAAUAACUUAGGGACUUUUACAAUCAGAAUAUCGAAUUAAUAGGGAAUUGUGAUUUAUCAACUACAUAAUUCACGUAACACUGAAAGAUUAAACACGUAUAGUUGUAACAACAAAAUUAGUGAAGUUUUAUAAUUCUAAAACAUUUAAUAAACUUAAGAACAUAAUUAAAUAGGCUGUAAUUAUUAAUAAGGAGAAUUCCAAAUCUAAGGUAUGAUUUUCAAUCAUGUAUAUCAAUUCUUUCUCAUCGAUUAAGUUUUUUGUCUGAUUGUUGAUUUACAAGGUUAUUAGUAUGACUGUGGUCUUUUGAACCUCUAAUCUUUUUCCAAAGUUGACCUUGCAACUACAUUCAUUGAGUUGUGAUGCAGAAACCCAAUCUAUAUUUUAUAUGAUUUCAUCCCAUUUUCAAACCACAUGGGAUGUAUUAGGUAUAUUCCUAUCCUAAAUGCAAAUCUCUCCCUUACUUUUUAAAGAGAAGAUCUCAUCGCUCGUAUUCUUUAUUUUAUCCUAGUGAUUCUUCUUCUGGGUUCACACAAGAAUCAUGUAUUUAUUUUACUGGUCAUAAAUAUAAACAAGAAUAUCAUAAUAACCAAUAUGAUUAACAAAAUCAAGCUAAGUCAAAAAUAUGUUAUACAAGCAUGUUGUAGGCCCAAUCAUAUGACGAUAAUUUUUAACGCCUCAUAGUCUAAAAUGAACUUGCAAAUUCAAUAUGGUUCAUAUAUUAAUAAAAUAAUUAAAAAGGAAUAAAAAUCUUAGUGAGAAGACUCCUUGAUGCUCUUUUUGACUCAAACUCAUGGUAGGUUCCUGCAAAAUUAAUUAUGUGUCCUAGUUAAACAAAAUGUAGAAAGUUGUAAAGCAAAUACUUUUCUAGCGUGACCCUAUUGUCAACUCACCUUUGAGCAUCAUGGAACAUUUCUAACACGUGAAGGGAGACAGUGGGGCACUUUGCCAUUGGACCAUGGGAGGCAACAUCACACUCCACCAAUACAGACCUAUUUUGAUUUGGAUGCCUCACUUCUACCAAUUUUCAACCUUUCUCUAUAGCAUAACAGUGAAUGCACUAUGUCUCCUUAAUGGAAGGGAUCACCUUAUAAUACCGUUUUAGAUCAUCAAAUGUCUUGUGAUCUUGCAUUUACACUUUGAUUUCAAAUUACAUCAAUCCAAAUUCAUUUCCAACCUAUAAAAAGUCUAAUCAUGAACGCUAGUUUAUGUACAAUAUUUUAUCAAAACAUUUGGGAAUAUAAUCAAAAUUAUUAUAGAAUUAAGCUUAAAUAUUGAUAGAAAGUAGUACUUGGACAUACAAAUAUUCCCAAGAUUAGUGACUUCUUAUUAAAUCAUCAUUAUUUAAAAUCAACCAAUAUUAAUUCAAGAUUAAAUUAAAACUCUAACCUAUUAAACUAUAACCAACCCACACCCUACCCAUUAGCAUAAUACCCGACCAAAAGCCUAACCCACUCUCCUUUUAUUCCCUCCCAUAGAUCGAUCAGAUAGCCAAAAUCAAUCACUAAUCCAAAUUCCAUAAUAACAUUUUAAUAUGAAAAAACAUAAGAAGAAAUUCAUGUCUUUUUCAUUCUUUCUCCUUCUCUGAGGAGUGUAACCCAUUCCCUAACUCCAAACUUAGUUCAUCCAUUAUCAUCUGGUUCAAUCAUCCAAAUUCAAAUCCUAGAUUAAAUUAUUUUUAUCAAUAUUUUUAGGAUCGAGUGACUCAAAUUGUUUAAGGAAAGGUACCAUUGCGGACUUAAUGUCAAUUUAUUUACGGAGUGGAUGCUGAACAACAUUGUUAGACUAUAUAUCCAGUGUCAUAUACCCAAGGUAGGUUAUGUUGGAGUAAUAUUUCACUGAUUCUAAAUAAAUUUUUUUAUUCUUUUGCAAAUUAAAUUAUUUUUGGAAUAGAGUCAAUCAUAUAAUUUUUGAGAUGGGGAUGACGAAAAAUUCUCCCACAGGAGAUAUGGAAUAUCACCAGAAAUUAAAAACAAAAGUUAAAUAUUUGUUAUAUUGAAAGGAAUAAUUUGACGAAGAACAUAGCCAAUUUUUAGGUUUCUAUUGUUAAUAUUGAGAUAAUGGUUGAUUUCAAAGUUUUGACUGCUAUGGAUUAUGCAAAUAUAAUGGAGUUAGGAGAUAAAUUAGAUGUUCUUAAGGUUGAGAGAAAUAUAUUAGCGGUGAAGGUGACUAAAUUUGUAUUUUUUUUCAUUUUGUGGUUGUUAUAACAACUAAUCUGUUAUGAAAAAAAGUGAUACGAUAGAUAUUGAUCAUUUUGUGUUUUUCUUAUUUGCUUGUUUCUCUAAUGGCAUGUGUUCUUAAAGAAUUGACAUCAACUUUUUAUUUGUCAUAUCUAUAUAUAUGUUUAGUCUUUCAUCCCUUAGGUACUUUGUCAAUUAUAAUGAAAGCGGGAACAACAAAUAUCAUAUUUGGGUUUAAUUUUGUGUUAGCAACUUGUGGUAGAAAAGUAUUAUCCUAUAACUAUUGUUGAGUUUAAAUUUGGGUACAUGUUCUUUUGCAAUCGGUUAGUUGGAGUCUCUUAAUCUUGAUUUAAUGUAUUGAAGUUGGACCCAGCAUAUUUAUGGCAGUUAAGUUUUUCUACCAAUUUUUAUUUAGUUAUUCACUUUUCCAAAUUUGGUGGUUGGAGCUUUUAAUUUUAAUUUUAAUAGGAUAGGUGAUUUUUAUUGACUAGUGAUUGUCGAUAGGUGAGUUUUAUUAACUAUUGAUUUCCGGUACUGGCAUGCGCAUGGGAUGAUCUAAAUUUUCAUUUGUGUCCCAUGCUUUGUACUUUUUUUGUUUAUUGAUUCUAACAUCAUUUUUAUUUUUCACUCAUCUAACUAAUGUGAAGCUGGACAUAUUUUAGGUAUUGUAGUAGGAUAACUAGGCAACACGCUGUGACAUAUUGGUAUCAACUAUGUUUAUCCUCGUGAAUGUCUUAAGUGUAAGCGCUUUAUCAAUCCUAUAAGAUAGUAAAACUUAUUUGUAAAUACCUCAUAUAUUUUUGUUUGGAAUUUGACUUGACCCUUAGAAUAUCAAAGUUAGCUCAUAAGAUAAAUCAACCAUACCACUUCCACACAUCUCGAGAAUAACUGCUUUGCAAACCUUAUUAUUUGAUAUCAUACCUUUUCUAUUUGUACUAUGCCACAUUUUAACAACAUUAUCAAACAGUUCAAUCCUACAAAACCCUCUAAUAACAAUAGUAUAACUCACAUGUAGCGCCUCAGAAAAAUCAAAUUAAUUUAACACUUUACACAAGCACAACUCUUGGUUUAUAAAAAAAUUACUAAAUGGUGAAUAUAGUUGAUGAGGAAUUGUACUAUGUAUGUAUGUAUAUAUGUGGGUGUGUGUAUAUAUAUAUAUAUAUUGUAAUACCUCAAGACUAUCCCUGGACAUCACAUGGUGCUUUGAACCAUAAGUGACCCGAAGCUAACCUAUGACACCAGCAUAAAUCGUGAGCAACUAAAUAAAAUACAUAGAACUGGAAGUAAUAAGGGGAAGAUAUGUGUUUUGUUGAACGUGUUAAAAAAAUUGUUUAAAACAUUUACACUUUGGUUAUACAAAACAAAACUAAAAUUAAAUACAUCAGCUCUAACUGUCUGUUUAUAAAGCCUCUACUAAUACUCACUAUAGGUAGCUGGGACAUCACCCCUAACUAUCCCUAAUCAAUAUGACUAAAUAAAUAUGAUAUUGGAACUAUAGUCAACUCGAGUACUCAAAUCAAAAGAACUCAUCAUCUGCUAGUUGGAAGCUGUGAACUGUCUGAUUAUGAUGUGUGGGCUACAAUUGGUACCUAUAUUAUGAAACAAUGUAUCCACAUAGAUGUACAUAUGGUCAGUACUUCUAGAAUGUGCUAAGUAUGUAGGGGUGAAUGCAAUAAGUAAAACUGAAGCUGAAUAUACUUUCAAAUCAUGCAUGCUAAGUGUAAAAAGAUUCACCUUGAUCAUGAAUAAACUAAAAGCCGAAAUAUCAUAAAACAUGAAUAAAAAAGUAUACUCUGAUAAGAUUCCAAAAUCUUUACUUAAAUGGGAAAUUCUUAUAACUGACAUAAACUGUGUGAACUAUCAUAGAGUCCAACAUCCUACCCAUGCUGAGGAAAGUUGUUCUACUUUUUCCAUCAAAAUAGAAUCUUAACUUAAAGUAAUCACUAAACUUAGCCCAUAUUUGGAAAAGGAGAGGAGACUCUCUAAUGAGGCCCCUAAACCUAUGAUGGAACAUAGUUUCAAGGAAAUAGGAUGCUCUAAAUCCACAUUCCUCUCUCAGUGCUAAAUGCUACUCCUAAAAUAUACACUUAUAUGCUCUUACUUGUGAAAUCCACCUUAAAAUAACAUAUAGGUUUUCAAACUUAAAAUCAACUAUGCUUUUUUUACUUAAAUCAUAUUCAUGAGGAAACUUGUGGAUUUUAUCUCCUAUCUGAGAUCAUAAGAUCAAUACUGAACUAUAGUCAUGCUGUAAAACUUGUAUCUUGAACUUAUAAGCUUGAAGUUCUUGUAAACUUUGUAGCUUACGCUUAAAAUUGAAAUCAUUCAUCAUCUCAUAGAAAAUUCAUAUCAAAAUAUCAAACUCAAUGUGUAAGAUCACUUUCAGGGAUAAAACAUAAGUGAACAUGAAAUCAUAUGCAAAACAAUGUUCAAUUCAUUAGGAAGUAUCAAAAUCUCAAAGCAUAAGGAAAGUGGGUAUAAAGCCUAGUAAGUCAAUUUCUUCAAAAUCAAUUAAAAAUCAAAUUUUAGGCACAAGGACGAAAGAGUAUCCUUGUUCAAACUCCACAUACCUGAAUUUAUUGAUUUUCUUGAAGGAAACUUGAAUUUUGAUCCUUGGAAGUUGAACUUUAGGAAGAAACUCUCACUUCUUUCUCUUAAGAGUGGAGAAGAGAAUAAGCUUUAAAACUAACUAAGAAUGGGUAAAUAAUGCUUAUUGGCUAAUUUAAGUCGUGUAAUAGAAGUUUGGUGGAGGAAAAGACCAAAUUACCCUAAGAAAACUUAAAAGAAGUUGCAAGAAUUUUUAGUUGACAACUCGCCAGUUUGGUGAAAACUAAUCAACCUAGUCGUUAAUAUCUAGCUUGAUUUUGACAUUUACUGGUUAAGGUUUACUACUUGAGUUGACAGCUCGUCACCUAGUUGAUGGCUCUUCAACUUAGUCGUAACCUUCUCAUAGACAGACAUUCCCAAGUAAAAUGAGCAUAACUUUCUACUCCAAUAUUAGAUUAACGUGAAAUUAGAUGCACUGGAAAGAAGACACAAAGAUCCCUCAUUUGAUAUACAAUAGGCCACAUAACUCUUUAUAUUCUAGGAGUUACACUCAUUUAAAGUUGAAACUUAUAGAAUUCAAUAUAAAAACUCAAUCGAUAAAAAUGCUUUUAAUUCAAAUUUGCUUUAAGUGUUUCUAUGACCAUAAUCGCAUCAAAAACACUUUACCCAAAAGGUCAAUAGUCAUGACACUUAUCUAUGGUUUGAAAUAAUUUCUUUGGGGUCCUUAAACAUAAGGUGAAUAAUUGAAAACUUAUCUGGGACCUUGUGGGGUAUUACAAUAUCUCCCCCUUGGGAUCAUUCAUCCCCGAAUUAAGACUGAUAUUCAUACUAAAAUAAUGUAGUUACUAUCUUGAAACUAAAUUCUAAAAUUUAUCAUGUCUCAUAACUGAAAUCACCUCUUAAUAUGAUACUAACUCAGCUGAUACAUGCAUAACAUGAACACAUACCUAGGAAUCAUAUGGAAUAAUGUAGGCAUGACAAGUCUGCUUAUGAAUGAUAUAGCUAAGCUGAAACAAUAAAACUUCAACCAUGAAACUUACUUCUAAGAUAAAUUGAUUGACUAUAAGGAGAUGAUUCAAGUUUUAAGUUUAGAACACAACUAAAACAUUCAUGACACGAUCAUCAUACAGAACAACAAAGUGAUAACUAAUGUAAUAAGAUCUCUAAGAGUUGCUAAGAACAUAAUAUGAUUUUCUUCAGAUUCUCAUUAUCAUAACAUCUAAUAACAAUCGAGGAAAAAAAUUUAGUGCAUGAUCUGGGUAUGGAUUUUGAGUAAGGAAUUGCAACAUGGAUACAACUCUAUAACAUGGGAUAUAAGCAUAUAGAAUAAAAGCUAGAAUAGGAUAACUAUGUAUUAGUCAAUGCAACUAUUAAAUUUCAAGAUUAGCGCCACUUCUUAGAUACUCUCUCAACUAUACUUAUCCUCUUGAAUACUAUGCAUCAUUUGAUGCAUUUAUAAUUCUAACAUGGGUACAUAUGACUACUCCAGCCUAAGCAUGAGUUGAACUACAUACUCUCACCAUGUUCAACCCUAACUUGAAAUCACAUGGUGCUACACAUAACACCAUAAUACUAGUCUAAACCAUGGUUUUCAAUAUCUUAUGUCUUUUCAGAGCUCUUACCUCAAGAAAAUACUCCUUACCACUUCAACAACUAACUUCAACCUGUUACCAAGAAUUCACUAGUGCAUAAUGCAUUCAUCCACUUAUAUACCAACAUGUUAUUCAAGCCUACCAUUAUAACCACAUAUGAACUUCUAGGAAACCAACCCACUGAGGAAUUUUUCCUAUAUUCUAUAUAUACCUUAAUCAAUAACAACUUUCAUGCAUUAUUCCCAAGAAGACACACCUAGAAUUCUCAACUAACUAUGGUAUACUAAAGAUUUGCAUCACUCUUAUUUCACACUUAUAGAAUUAGAUAAAAUAAGUAUUCAACAAAUUUUACCUAAUAAGGAACACCUACUCUCUCCUAUCUAAACCAUUGUUUAUCCACUUUUACCACCACUAUUUAACAUAAGAAGAGGCCACUAAAGGGCUAGAACAUGAGUACCUAAAGAAUGAAAGAAUACUAUACAUAACUUUGACACUUAACUAAGGCCUAAAGAAUAGAGUAUCAAAGCAAUUGAUUCCUUAAAGAGAUCUAAAUUAAAGACAUACACAUAACAUAAUGUGAAUUUUACUGGUCAUUAAGGGUGUACCAUGAGUUAUUAGAACUAAAGAACUGAGCAUACUUUGAAAUAUAGGUUCAUACUUACCAUAAGAUACUCAAUAUAAUACUACAGUUCAUAGAUUUAUGAGAGGUGACUCGAAUCAUAGAGUGAAGUUGUUACUUCUUUACUAGAGUUAAGAAUGAACUUGAAUAUGAAUGAAGUGUAUAAUCAUUGGUCACAUACGUGACUCUAUCGUGCAAGACAUAGAUAAGGUGCUAUAAUGACUGAAAUUUAAGGAAAGGAAUAUGCAAGAGCAAAAAUGGAUCACUAUCUCAUCACAACUCUUAUUGACAUGUAUCUCAAUCUAAUUCUCAAACAUUGAUUUGGUUAUUCACCUUAUCAUCUCCCUCUUAGAUUAAAGCCAAUAUUCUAAGCUUAUGGGUCCAUUCCAUAUCCUCAAGACUAACACAUACUUUAUUCACUCUAAUGGCCUAUACAUAAAUGCUCAAACUCAUUUGAAUAAACUAUAUCUGCACAAUUCUAACUUCAUUCUUUAACACUCUCUUAAUAUAUACCAUCCCUAACUUUCUCUAGCUUCAAUAAUGAUCAUCAUAUACUUACGCUCUUCUACAUCAACAUAGCUAUCAAUCUAAACACGUAAUCCACCCUUUUUUUAUAACUUACUCAUAUCACACCUUUAAACUUAUAUUUUUCCAUAAACCAUCAGAAUCAAAAUUAUACGAAAAAACUUAAUAUCCUUAACCUAUAAAUCCCAACUUAGCUAUCAAGAACACCAUAUAAUUUAUCAUUAUCCUUCUUUACACUUAGCAACUCAUGGGUAUUAUCUAAGCACACAAGACACAUUAAAAACUUAGAAAAUAAUGCAAGCCAUAUCACCUUGGGUACACUUCUACAUCAUGCCUACACUAUUAUACCUAAUUGCAAAAUAAAUGAACUUAAAUUGUUGCACACAUUAUUCCUAGCCUACUAGCUCACCUUUCAUAUAACUAACAUCAUUAUCCCAUAAAAUCAUUAUUUCCACCUUGACGAUCAUUUACGGUUCAACCUUAGAUUCUAGUACUAGACAUGAUUAACCACAACCUCACACAAUAUUCUUGCUUGGCAAAACAUCAAGAAACACUAGUCCACUAGAACAUCAUAAUAAUGAUAUUUGAUCAUAAUCUUAUGGUAAAUCUUACAAUAUCUAUUCGCAUAUUCUCGUUUCACAUAUCACUACUACUUAUCCAUCCAUACAUCUAAAUUAUACUCCUAGCCCUACAAGUAUCAACCAAUUUCUCUUUCACAACCACAAGGAGAACCCACAUUAAUAACCCUUAACAACAUAAUACUUUCAUUAAUCACCUAUACUUUUGUAUCAUAAUGGAAUACCAUCAAGAACUAUUUUUCUACUUUAAGAUUAUCAUAAUUCACCUUAACUGGUAACUCCUUCUCUACCUUCCACCAUAAAACCUACACCAUAUUCACUACUUCUUAGUUAAUACACAUAGAUAUAUCAUCUAAGUCAUACUUAAUAACAGACAUGCAUCUGUCAAUUUACCUCAACCAAAUGCUAACCCUACCUUUUCUUGUUACUGCACAUCUAUAUCCAUGCUUCCAACUCUAAGGAUGCUCUAUUACUUAUGAAUUAUAACACCCUAAGUUACACUAUCCCUGUGUAAAAAUUGUAUUCAAUACUCUAGGAACAUGCUCUUCAUAAGCACUAUCCAUAAAAAAAGGAUAAUGAGAAAUAUAAUUACAUAGAAUAUUCUAUCUUAACUAUACAACUCAUAUAGAUGAGGACAUAAAAUUUUGAAUAAAAGGACUUUCAACCCACUAGCAGGCUCUUCUCAAAACCUUUGUACAAUUUUUGAAGUUACUGAUAGUAAAUUUGAGAGCAUCAUCUCAGGAUGAAUUAAAAUUUACUACUUAUGUUAUCUUAAGAAUAAUUCAUGGAUGGAGAAUUAUAGAGUAACACACAAAUUGAUAGAAGUUUAUUAGAGAAUAACUAUACUGCACGAUCUAGAGCAUAAAAAAGGGAAAUAUUUCUUAAAUGCCUAAUAGCCUUUUGAAGAAAAGUACAAAUGUCGUUUUUCUAUUCCACAAGGCUCUAUUAGACAUGACUUCAUAAACAACAUAGGACACUUAUACUCUGUUCUCUAAUAUAAUUUUUGUAAUGUCUUGUGACUACCCCAUAGAUGUCGUAUAGUGCUUAGAACCACCAGUGAUCCUAAGCUAACCCAUGAUACUGGCAAAACUUAUGAGCAACUGAAUAAGAACAUAAAACUAGAAGUAAUAAGCGUAAGAAAUGUCUUUAGCUGAACAUGUUACAAAAACUAUUUAAAAUAGUUACACUUUGGUUAUACAAAACAAAAUUGAAAUUAAAUACAUCAACUCUAACUGAUUGGCUAUGAAUCCAAUACUAAUACUGAUUAUAAGUAGCCGGGAUAUGACCUUAGUUGACUGAAUAAAAAUAAUAUUGGAACAAUAGUUGACUCGAGUCCUUGAAUAAAAAAAACUCAUCACCUUAUAGUUGGACGCUAUGAACUAUAUGAUUAUAUGUCUGGGCUACAUCUCGUAGCUACACAUGAAAUAAUAAAAAACAUAGACGUAGAUGUGGUCAGUACUUCUAAAAUUUACUAAGUAUGUAGGGGUUUAUGCAAUAAGUAAACUGAAGUUAAACAUAAUUUUAAAUCAUGCAUGCUAAGAGUAAAAAGACUCACUGUGAUAAUGAAUAAAACUAAAAUAUCAUAAAACAUGAAUAAUAAAGCAUAAUCUGAUAAGCUUAGUAAGUCAUUACACUUAAUUUCUAAAAUCUUUACUUUUAUGGGUGAUUUUUAUAGCCGACAUAAACCAUGUGAGCUAUUAUGGAGUACAACAUCUUACCCAUGUUUAGGAGAGUUGUUCUACCAUUUCCAUCGGAAUAGAACCUUAAUUUAGAGCGAUCAUUAAACUUAGCCCAUUUUGGGAAAAAGAGGGGACACUCUCUAGCAAGACCUCUAAACCUACGGUAGUACGUAGUUUCUGGAAAAAAGGAUAUGCUAAACCCAUAUUCCUCUUUUUGUGCUAAAUACUACUCUCAAAAUAUAUACUUAUAUGUCCAUACUUGUGAAAUCCACCUUUAAAUAGCAUAUGGGUUUAUAAACUGAAAACCAAUUAUGUUUUUCUUACUUAAAUUAUAUUCAUGAGGAAACUAGUGGAUUCCAUAUCUUCUCUGAGAUAGUAAUAUCAAAACUAAACUUUGUUUAUGUUGUAUAACUUGUAUCUUGAACUUAAGCUUGAACUUCUUAUAAACAUAGUAACUUAUGCUUAAACUUAAAAUCAUUCAUCAUCUCACAAAAACUUCAUAUCAAAAUAUCGAACUCAAUUUUGAAGAUCACUUACAAGGAUAAAACAUAAGUAAAUAUGAAAUUAUAUGUAAAACAAUGUUCAAUUCAUGAGGAAGUAUCAAAAUCUCAAAGAAUAAGAAAAGUGGGUAUAAACCCUUUUAAGUCAAUUUCUUCAAAACCAAUUAAAAAUCAAACUUUUGGCAUGAGUAUGGAAAAGUAUACUUUUCUAACCCCACAUACCUGAAUUUCUUAAUUUUCUUGAAGGAAACUUGAAUUGAGAUCCUUAGAAGUUGGAACUUUAGGAAGAAACCAUAACUUCUUUAUCUUGAGAGUAGAGAAGAGAAUGAGCUAUAAAAAGUAACUAAGAAUGAGAAAAUAAUACUUAUUGCCUAAUUUAAGUCAUGGAAUAUGUAUUGACCCUCUUGAAACACCCCAAACUUUGGCCUUUGAAAAUUUCCUGAUCCUUUAGCUCACUGCCUUGCUUAUGACUUGACCUCAUGAGUUGUAGGAUGUCUUGAUGAGUCAUGUAACCCAAUCAUAUGGUGUCCAGUGAUUGUUGUUGAGUUUUUGUCCUGGGUCAACUUAGGGAAAUAAGUCAUAAAGACUCAUGAUGAUUCGUUAGGAAGAGUCGUAACUAAAUCAUAUAAGUUGUUAUCUUGAUUCUUCUUUGAUUAUGAGUGGAUCACUAUGAGCCGUAAGGACUCAUUACAAGUCAUAAUGAUCAAAUGGUAGGAUGUCCAAUGUUUACCCUAUUUGGUUCUGCUCUGAUAACGAGUAGGACCCUAAGAGUCAUAGGGUCAUAUUACGAGUUGGUUGGUUGAGUUGUAAGAGUAAAAAUGUUGGGGUUCCUUAAGACUUUCCUGGUUAUGACUAGUGGUAACGAGUCAUAAGUUAAUAUUACGAGUAGAUGGAUGACUUAUAACUAAAGACGAUGCUUUUCAAGCUUAUAAAUUGGGGCACUUUAGACAUUUCCCACUUAAAACCCUUUAGAACCCACUUCGUAAAACACUUUUGAGGCAUUCAUUCAACACUUUAAUGGGUUAAAUACUCUCUAUAAAUGCUUUUAAGCAUGUCAAUCUAGGUUUUCACCAAUUUGGUCAUCUAAGGGCUCAAGGGUUGAUUUCUCUUCAUAAAUCUUCGUAAUUCAGGUAUGUGACUCUUCUCUCAUUGUUAAUUAUAUAAAACUAUGCAACUUAAAGUAUUGUUCAUGAGUUAUUAUCAAGAGUUUUGAAAACAAGGUUUGAGGGUUUUUAAUAUUUAUUGUUGAAUAGUAUUUUCCUAUGGUUUAAUUAUUAUUUUCCAUGCUUUAAUUGUGGUUUUUGCAUAUAUGGGUGCAUGGGAAUGGUGAUUUAACUAAGGUGUUACGUUUAACCCCUAAUUUGAUGAUUUUGCCUUGAUUUUUUCUUUGAUAAUGGUACGCCCUCAGCCUGUUUGUAAAAUUAUUAAUGAGAAUGACCUUGUCACAAGUAUGAAUUGUGUGUUGAACUAAUACAUUGACAUAAAAUGGUAAAUGAACGAUGAAUGUCUUUAUGAAGGCCUUGAUGGACAUAAAUUGAUUUAAAUUGGAACCUUGGGGUUUGAUUGGCUAAAUAGGUUUAAGUCCCAAAUGUUAAAUUAAUUUUGAUAACUUUAUUAAGAUAAUGGGUUCGAGUCCCAAAUUGAUGAAAAUAUUAUUAUGGCAUAUUAUACGCUUGCAAGUGGGGUUGGUAUGAUGAUACCAAUAGGGUGCCUAUAUGUAGAAUGGGUUAACAAAUAGUGCUGCAGAUUAAAUGUUUUAAAUUGGGCUUAAAAUAAGGAUGUGUAGACGGACCAUAAAAGUAAAGGUCCCAAAGAACUAACAAUGGAAAUCGCACUAACUAGUGCAUGUGUCUAAAUGAUCAGAAAGUUUGAGUCCCCUGUAUUGAAUACAUGAAUGGGAGGUUUGAGUCUCCCAUGUUGUAUAAAUUGGUGCUUAAGUCACCUUGAAUUUGCUGGGAGGUUUAAGUCCCCCAUAAAGGCAUAUACGAAUAUAGAUAUUCUCUGGUUUGUGCAGCUACCUCGGGUGCCUUGUUAUAUGACAAUUAUGCUACACAGCCCAGGUUAAAGUUU